Molecule: long non-coding RNA, 61285 nt
Filed under: Setaria viridis
Lineage: Eukaryota; Viridiplantae; Streptophyta; Magnoliopsida; Poales; Poaceae
Description: long non-coding RNA (SVIR_LNC004329)
Source: RNAcentral
AGGAGAAUCCCAACGCGUGCACCAUCGUCUGAGCAGUGUUUCGCCGUUAGGUGGUCACAAGUUACUGGUCAGAUCAGGGAAUCAAUAAGAUGACUUCUUAAUUUCUUACUUUGGGCAAAGUAGUCUAUUAACUAGGAGAAGGAAUAUGGUUCUUGUAGUGCUGUGUAGAUAUAUAGAUAAGCUACUAAGGUUGAUGAAACGGAUUGGUUCGAAUGUUUCGAUGCUUCGGCUUAAUUAUUAGAGUAUAUAUCUCUGACCCCUGCGUCUUGCCUUUUUGCCCUUAAUAUAUAACUCUUUCAUUUAAGAUAUACUGAUACAUCUUCAUAUCAUUUGGAAAUGUUAAAAAGUAUGACGAGGGAAAACAUAUAUAAAUUAAUGAGACUCAUAUUUAUGAUUAGUUCAAGUAUUGCCAAACCAAGGUAGCAAUUACCGUCCACCUCCCCUCUCUUGCUGCUUUGCUUAGACUUAUCCCAAAGAAUUUUAUCUUACUCCCUCGGUUCAAAUUGUUGGUCAUUUUAGCUUUUCUAUAUACAUAGAUUUUACUAUGUAUUUAGAUAUGAUGUAUAUCUAGAUGCAUAGCUAAAAGGUAUAUAUAUUUAGAAAAGUCAUAAACGACCUACAAUUUAGGUGUUUCUUAGGAUAAAAUUGAGAAAGUAUCACUCAAUGCAAGUUUGCCAAGUCAUAUAUAAAUAAUAGAAUCUUAUGUGUUUCUUAGGGACCCAUGCCAAUAAAUUGUUACACUUGUUCGAUGACAAAUGGUUCCAAAGCAUGUACAUGGAUUUCUAGUGUUGGACAUUAAGUCCAAGCCAUUUUUGGUCUCUCCUUAAAUCCCAUGCCACAUCAUCGAACAUUCCUAUGUGGCACUCAAUAAAUGUGUAUAAUGCUCAUCAAAUAUCACUAGGAUAGAAAUAAUUAGCCUAUAGGAUUUUAUAAACUAUAUGAUGCGAUACUUUUGAGCAUGUGUUUGAAAGUAAUUAAUUUCAUAUGCUAUUUGUUUUGUAGGCAUAAGCAAUACAAUAUAAAGUGUAUUAAUGUCGAAGUAGGAAGUGAGCCUAGGUCAACUGGUUAGGGUGGGAGGUGUGGUUGUGCACUCUUAACACUCAGGUUUGAAUCCCCUCUAACUCCUCUUAGAUUGAUCUAAUUUGUAUUGAUAGUCGGAGUGCAGCCUUAUAAAUGCCCUAUAUUUCAAAAUGGAGGAAGUACAAGCCACAUCAGUCAACAAGAAAAAUGGUUUCACUCCCACAUAUAUAUUGUAAUAGACCAAAAAGGAUAUAAUACUAAUUUGAAGCUAAUUUUUUGGGAUAUCACGAUGUUUUUCUAUUUUGGAUAGCAGGUAUAUUUCGUGGAAUGUAAGAUGGGUAAUAUUCCUCGGAUAUCAUAUUAUCUGGAUAUUUAAUUUGGGUAGUGGUAGGCCUAAGAGUUUGAGUGAAGCACAUUUUUUUAUUUUCAUUUUCUGUUGCACUUUUAAGUUUGAAUAAAAAAGUAUGUUCCAAGGAUAAUUUCACUAAACUAUUAUAAUAAAUUUCAAAUAAAUCUUAAAAUUAAUUUUGAAUACAAGAAAAUUUCAGGGAUUGGAGGAAAAUUUAAGCACGUUUUUUUUGAAAAGGUGAGAGCUUAUAUUAAAGAACAAAAUAUGUUUACAAUUAAAAUCUAAAGCUGCAAAGGCCGGAAUACCUUUAGAAACAAAGAAACAAAACCAGAUAAGAGCUCUCUCCUACCAAGAUGUCCUAGUUCACGAGCCACUCCAUACAAAACGAGAUAAGAGCUCUCUCCUACCAAGAUGUCCUAGUUCACAAGCCACUCCAUUUGCACUUCGAUCGCACUUUAAAACUUUGAAACACUGGAACAUUCUCAGCAUUCUUUUUGCUUCUUCAAUGAUGAUGCAGCUAGGGGAUCGAUUUAGAGUACUAUCAUUGAGUGCUUGUACUGUGCUGAGGCAGUGUGCUGAGGCAGUCUGACUCCAGCCAAAUAGGUCCCGUGAAAACCAAGCCGCAUGAUACAAAAGGUAUAUUUAUUUUUGGUUCUAUUGAUAACUUCAACUUAAAAAAACACAAAGUGUUACCAUUGUUUUCAUUGCUAUGUCUUUGUACAACUAUCUAUGUUAAGCGUCGAUAAUACAACAACUAUUUGGUACCUAUAUAUAUCUAUGAUGCAGGUAAAUUGUUAUUUUGCUUCCUUAAGCAUACUAGUUGAAAUUCGAACGUUUGAGUGCUAAAAUGAUUAGAGCACGUGUGAUAUGUAUGGUUGUUGCAUUUACUCUAUGUCCAAAGAAAUAUUUGGGACUUUAUUAUUCGCAUUUGACUCGUCCCGUAUUUAAUACAGAUUUAUUCACAUUCAUAACUGAUGUAAUCUAUGUUGGUAUAUGUAUUUUAACACUAUCUUUCUUUCUGAUUCUAAUAAAGUAGAAUGCAAAACGAAUAUGGGUCAAUAAUAUGCGUUCGUAUCUCCCAUUGCUCCCGCCUAAUCUAAUGAUAUCUCUUCUUGGCUUCGGAUCUGAUUGUCGUAUAUCGAACAUACUAGCAGAAUUGCCCGCGCAUUGCUACGGACCUCUACCCUCUCUAAAAUAAUUAUCUGAUUAUUUCGGAUCAUGUUUCAUGGUGCUUUACCACUUUUCUUCUUCUCAUUCCCGAAAUUCUGCACAAGAAAAAUUAAAGAAGUAGAUAAGCUAUCACAAGGAGAAAAGUUCAUGGAUUUUAUACUAUGUGCUAUUACAAGAUUGUGAUCCGUCACUUUUUUAAAUCAAUCUAUAUUUACCCCUUCUCAUUUUCUUUUUUACUCCUCUCCUUUUUCCCACCUUAUCUGUUCAGCCUUCCUUAUCUUCUCUUCGGUCUCCACGCUGCUAGUCCAGCCACGCUGACCAGCUCUACUCCCCACCUUUACUCGCUUGUCAUGUGUUGCUGCUGCUACCCGAUCUCCACCACUGCCCGGUCGACGAAGCUAGUACUGCUUCGCUGCAACUGUCCCCCACGCUGCCGUGUGAGGGACACGCUGUUGCCAGGCGAGGUGCCUGCACUCGCGCUGUCCUACGCGCUGGCAUGCCAACCAUGGCUGCAGCGAGGCGGGGAGAUGCACACAGGCCAUGCCAGCGAUCUUCCAGGCCGCACUCCUCUGCCGAUGCGGUGCCACUGUGGGCUGAGGCCGCCAUUCUCAACCACACUACCCGCUGUAGCUGCUCGAUCAUCCUUCUCCUCCCCCGCCAGAUCUGCAGUGCCCGAUGGGAGAGAAGGGUCUUUCGGUGCAAGGAACUUCAUCCUCGACCUCCCGGCGAGCUCACAGCGCAACUGCCGAGAGCAGCACCAGCAUCCGGGUCGAAGACGACGAGAUCUAGUCCACCAGCACCACUACGACGCCGCGCUUAGCCUGGGCCUCUGCGUGUACAGGGCAGCUUCUCCAGCUGUUGCCGGGACUGCCACCAACGGAGGGGGAAGAAGCAGCAGCAAGCUCCCCGUCGUGGUUGCCUUCCAUGACGGCGGCUUCUGCACCAACUCCUAUGCGACACGCUGCGACUCCCUGGGACGCGGCGAACUCCGGGAGGGAGCUCGAGUGGUGCAGCGCGGGGGAGGGAGAUAGACGGCGGCAGAGCGGGAGGCCAACUCCUUGGGCGGGUGCAGGCGCAGCUCGAGCGGCGAGGCCGGGGUGGCGGCGAACUCCGGGAGGGAGCCCGAGUGGUGCGGCGCGGGGGAGGGGGACAGACGGCGGCGGAUCGGGAGGCUUACUCCUUGGGCAGGCGUGGGCGCAGCUCAGAGCGGGGACGGCGCAAGCGAAGCGGCAACACAGGCGAGGCGGCGGAGGCGGAUGCGUGUGCGACUGUGGAGAGGAGAUGAGGAGGGCAAUUGGAGGGACGCGGCGUGGGCAUGGUUAACGAUAUGGACCCACCUAUUUGUGUGGUAAAUAAUAAUUAGGCUCACAUGUCAACGAAAUUAAGUUGGACCAAAUGAAAAAAGUGGGCAGAGGUGGUCCGCACUUUAUAAAUAGGCAUAGGUAUAGAUUAUUCAUGCUGGCUUCCUAGAGCGCAUUCUGUGGGCCAAAUCUAAUGAUCUGUCUCGUUCGGGACCUCCCUAGAAGGGGUUAGGCCCAAUGGUUUACUUUUUUGGUUUUCGAAACCGGCCCAAUAGUUUACCAACACCACGAUUUGACGGUAAUGGGCUUAAGAGCCUAAACCCUAGAGCAGAGAGAUUUUUGCAAGAAUUCCCUAACCCCCCGCAGGCGAAUGCUGCUGCUGCAAGGCCGGCCCUCCUAAACCCCGCCGCCGCCGUCCUCCCCACCGCCAUGCUUCUUCUCCCCCUAUGCCCCAUCCCACCGCCCACCUCCCCGUCCCCGUCCCCCUCCGCCGCCUCACCCGCAAACCCUCCCUCGCCGCCACCACCGCCCGCCGCUCCCACUGCUCCCCUUCCGUCUCCUCCUCAUCGUCCGACGACGAAUCACCGCUCGCCGCUGAGCUCUUCCCGGCCGCCGGCGCGCCCACCCUCCUCUCCGUCGCACGCUCCCUCGCCGUCGCAUCCCCUCCUCCGCCCGCCGCUGCCGUCCUCAGCUUUCUUCGCCGCCUCCCCCACGACGCCUCCCCGCACAUCUUCCCCCACCUUGUCGCCGCCCUCGCCCGCUCGCCCCGCCCGAUCCUCGCUCUGCGCCUCUUCCUCUCCCCGCCCACCCCUGCCGCCACCACCCACCACUCCUUCAAUUCAGCGCUCGUCCGGUUCCCCCUCCCGCCUCAUCUCCUACCGGCCUUCUUCUCCCAUUCCCUCCGCCGGUUCCCAGGCCUCACUCCCACUCUGCUCUCCUUCAACCUCCUCCUCAAGUGCAUCUCUUCCUCUCUGGUCCCAAGGAACCCCAGCAUCUAUCUUGCAACCGCACUGCGAAUCCUUCACGAUGCCAUUCCAGUGUGGAAUCUUGCGCCGGACAAGUUCACCUACUCUACGGUCGUGUCAGCACUGUCCGAUGCAGGGCAUGUGGAGGAUGCGGUGGCGCUGGUGCAUGAGAUGGUGGUCGAUGGGGUGGUGGCGGCCGAGGCUUUUAAUCCUGUGCUGAGAGCAAUGCUGCGUGCAGGGGAUGUCAAUGGGGCAGCCAAAUUGUUUCGGUUUAUGCAGCUAAAGGGUUGCACACUGACAGCAGCAACAUACAAUGUGCUGCUGCAUGGUUUGUUAUUGUGCAGUAAAGUGAAGGCAGCGAUGGGCAUCAUGAGAAGAAUGGAGAAUGAGGGAAUUGUGCCAGGGUUGAUGACAUAUGGCGCAGUGGUGGAUGGGUUGGUAAAAUGUGGAAGAGUGGAAGAUGCAUGGAAAGUCGCUGAGGAAAUGGGCAACAAGGGGCUUCCACCUAGUGAAUUUGUGUUCUCAGCCGUGAUUACCGGGUUUUGCAGGUCAGGGGAGGUUGACAGGGCAUUGAGGGUGUGGGAAACAAUGGUGGCAGCUACAGUAAGGCCAAACAUUGUUUUGUAUUCAGCAAUGAUUGAUGGUCUUGCCUGUUGUGGGAGGAUGACUGAAGGUGAAAUGUUAUUUGAUGAGAUGGUUGAUGCAAAAUGUGUACCAAAUGUCAUGACAUAUAGCUCAAUGAUUCGAGGUUAUUUCCAGAUUGGAGAUUCAUCACGAGCUCUCUCUACAUGGGAGGAGAUGAUAAGGGUUGGCUGUGUGCCAACUGCUAUUAGUUACAGUAUAUUGAUCACUGGGAUGUGUAAUGUAGGGAGAUUAAAAGAUGCUAUGAUGGUCUGGAAACAUAUGCUUAGCCGUGGCUGUGCACCUGAUACAAUAGCUUAUACUUCAAUGAUCAAGGGGUUAUGCAUGUCUGGGAUGGUUGAUGGUGGUCUCCGGCUUUUUAAUGACAUGCUGGCGAAGGGUGAUGCCAAACCCGAUGCUAUCAUUUAUAAUGUUGUAUUGGAUGGGCUAAUUCGCACAAAUAACCUUGCUCGGGCAAUGGACAUGCUUAACCAGAUGCUUGAUCAAAGAUGUGAUCCAGAUGCAGUAACAUGCAAUAUUUUCUUGCGGGAGGUUGGGGUCGCAGAGGCGAAAGGGAGAGAAUUUUUAGAGGGGCUGGUCAUGAGGCUAUGCAAUAGAGAAAGGUAUAGGGCAGCUGGAGAUGUUUUGAUGGUGAUGCUGGCUAAGUAUAUUGUGCCAGAGGCUGCCAUUUGGCAUACUAUUGUCAGAGGAGUUUGUCAGACUAAGAGAGUUCAGAAAGUGGUUGAUAAUUGUUGGGAUGAGAUUUGGAAGCCUUAAAGAUUAUAUAUAUUUUUUAUAUACCGAUUGAGCACACGCUUUGGAGCUCGCAUGCUGGAGUGCUUUUAAUACUCCAUUUGUUGUAAGUUGUAUCACUAACUCAUUCAUUCAUAACAAAAGUUUUUGUUACAAUAAAGCGAUUUCCAUUGUUCACUAUGCUUAUGCUUCCAGCACUUUUUAUCUUUUAUUUUUUAUGUCAAUAGUAUGGUGUUUUCUCUAACCAAUGGUUUUGCGGACCUGUAUAAGUCGCACUUGUCCUAAUAGCUUGUCUUCCAUGAAUUUCUGGUGUCAGUUGCAAACUGUAAUGCAUGUUCUAACUGAAAGCCCUGAUUAUAUUGUUUAAAAAUUCAAGAUUGAGUAAUCUAGAUCUUUCUGUUUAUUAGGACACUAGGAAACAAAUGAUUAGAUCUCUUUUAGAAAGGCAAGGAAAUAUGGCAGUUUAAGCUCAUUUUAACCUGUAUAUAGGAUGGUAAGUGCAAACUAUGUUAACAGACAUGUUUGACCUUUUUGUUUCUAAGAAUUAGAACCUCUGGGGCUCAAUUGAUUACUGUUAGCAAGCUAUCGAUUAAUUCUACCCCCUGUCAAUCAGCAGCUGCUAGAGAUAGGUAAUAUAUUUCUUUACUAAGCAUCCUUACCAUUGCCAAAUAUUGAAUCAAUGAUAACUCAAGCACAUUUUUUUUUAUCAUCCCAUUAUUUCAGACAUUUUCCUUGGGAAAAAGUCCAUUUAACUCCCCUCACAUAUCCACUAUGUCCACUUAACCCCCUGAAUAAAAUUUUGGCUCACUUUACUCACUUGAACUAUUUCACUUGGUCCAAUCUACCCCCUAAUUAGAUUUAUCUUUUUUGUUUCUCCGUGUAUAAGUUGAAUUUUGAGUUCAAAUUUUGUGAGUAGAUACAAAACAUGAUGCCUUAUGUUAAAAAAUUAUAUUAAGAAUUUUUCAUGGUUGUUUUCAUAGGUUAGGAAUAUUUAAUAUGAAAUUGAUCUUAGAUAUACAAAACUGUAUGAAAAGUAAUCAUGAAAAAUUUCUAAUGUAUUUUUCUAACGUAGAGCAUCAUGUUAUAAGUCAACUAACAAAAUCUGAAAUUAAAACUCAAUUUGUACGCGAUGAAAUAAAAAAGAGAAAUCUAAUUAAGGGGUAGAUUGGACCAAAUGAAAUAGUCCGGGGGAGUAAAGUGAGCCUAAAUUUUGCUUAGGGGGUUAAGUGGACAAAGUAAAAAAGUGAGGGGAGUAAAAUAGGCUUUUUCCUUUUCCUUGAUGAAUUUUGCAUUUGAAAACUGAUGGGACAAACUUUUAUGUGCUGAUAUUUAUUCAAGUUGAUGCAAAACAUAAACAGUAGAGUGUAGAGAAAGUGUUUUUAAGGUUGCCUUUGCUAUUGAUCACAUGUUUUUGGUUCUACUUUGAUUUUUAGUGAUCAGGAGCAUUGUUAUUAAGGUGAUAAUUCAAGAAAUCUCACAACAGUCAUACUGUCUAAUAACAUAUUAUGUAAACAGUAAUAAAAUCUGGAGUAUCACACGUUAUAUGUAAACUCUGCUAAAAAAGGCAGCUAUGAUCUAUGAUGGUCAAGUAGAUCAUUUAAAUCCUUCAGUUAUGGAUGGCCAGACAUACUUUCUCAUUGCUGUAUGCAUAUCCAACAUGAUGUAGAGAAAGCUAGUAAUAGUAAAUACUUCUGCAUAUUGUCUCACUUGUCAUUGUUUCUGAACACCAAAAAUGAGGCUUUGCGGUUUAUUGCAGAUAAUAACAUUCAUGUUAAGUGAUUCAACUUAUACUAUUGUCUUAGUUUGUUUACAGCAAAAAAUGCCUUGCGUACCACACACCACCACAUAUCUUAGCUGCCAUAGGGAUGACUAUGUAUGCAAAGUUGCUAGGCCUUGUGGGUAGUUAUGACAAAUUGACAACAGAAGAAUCCCAUUAGAAUACAUAGUAUUCUGGUGGAUGUCAGUGACGUAUCAGUAGUAGCUUAGUUGUUUAAUGUAUUCGUUCUGAGUUACUCUACAUCUGAAUUGAUUAUAGAUUUUCAUGUUUCUUGCUGCCCUUUUUCUUGUGAUUCCUUGUUGAGUUGUAUAGUGUUGUUUGGAAUAGUUUACUGCAUGCAAGGUAAACCUAGGCUUCAUGGAUGGCAUAUUAUUCCAAUGGAUGACAUGUGUGAAAUUAGCUUAGUUAUUGUAUUAUAUCAAUUCAGAUUCAGAGUAGUUGGAUACUUAUGCUCGGAACGCUAACCCUUCGGAGUUCAGUAGCUAUUAUAGCUGAAAGGUCAUUAUGGAUGAAUUGUUGCAUGUGACUUUUCAAUUCCCAAGAAGCAUUUAGCAAAUGUUCAAAUGUGUUAAACAAACUAUAUCUUUUACUCCUGUUAGACAACUCAAAAUUAGGCAUAUUAGUUACCAGAUGGCAUGGCGACUUGGCUCUCUCCAUUAGUCCUUCGCACCUAGAACUAAUCAUGUAUUUUCUCUGCUUCUUUCUCCUGUGAAUUUUAAUGCGUCUGGAAACGCACAAGGUAUAAUUUUUCUUUUGGUGCAUAUGUAAGAUAGUCAAAUGCUACUCUGUUUUAGAAUUUACCUUAGUAUCCGUAUGUGAAGACAACAUGAAGAUAUACCAACUUCACCUUGCAUUGUUUGCGUAGCGUAUUUAAAUUGUGUGAGUGUUAGGGACUUGGAGGACCCGGCUCGGCCCUUAGGGGUGGUCCAGAGGCACGCCAGCGCAGCCGCCGGCCUCCAGGGCGAGUCGGAAGAGGAGGCGCCCUAGAGGGGCGCCGCACAUGGCAGCCGCUGGCCCCACCGGCAAUAUACUUUUGGAGUCUUUGAAUAAUAGGAAAGGUUAAAGAGUCUAGAGACAAUUAGAGAGUUUGUUUAGGAAAGGAUGGAUCCAAUCUAUAAGGAAUCCAAUCCUAGUUAUCUUAGGAGUCAAGUCAUAGGUCCCUAUAUAAUUGAGAGAGUUGUACUCAUUGGAAAUCAAGAAGGAAGAGAAUUCUCUCAACCCUCCUGCCUUCCUUUCUCCCUGCGCCAACCGCCCCUCCCCCCUGCGCCGUCCCUCUCGCCCUCCUGCGCCGCCCUAGCCGCCCCCUCCUCUAAGAUCCUAACACAUGGUAUUCAUAGACCAGGAACUAGCCCACCAUGUCCACCUCCAAGCCUGCCACCAUGGAUGACCUCAGCAAGCAGAUGGUUGAGAUGCACCUCCAUCAACAAGCUGCUUGCCACCAUGAAGGUGGUGGACGGGCGCCUGACGUCCCUGGAGAACGUCCCUGGAGAAGAAGCCCGCCGCGUCGACCACAAGCAGACCCUGAAGGCAAGGAGGCGGCAGAUGCCAAGGCCAAGGCACCUGCUGAACUGCAAGAGCAGUCGUUGGCCGACCUGGCCAGGUGCGCGUAGUAGCCUUCGCUGAGCGCAAGUUCCUCUUCGACAAGGUGAGGGAAGCAGGAUCAUCCUACAGCGACGAUGCGACAUCGUCGACAAGGUGGUGAAGGAUCUGUUCCCCACCCCGAUAGAUGGAUCUCAGCCGGAGCAACCGACAGACGUGCCACCGAACUUCUACUCCAUGUUGGUGCCUCGCUACCACAAGAUGAACUUCCCGAGCUAUGACGGGGAGGACGACCUGCUGCAGUGGCUCAACAGAUGCGAGCACUUGUUCACCAGGCAAUGGACGCCAGAUCAUGAGAAGGUCUGGUAUGCAUCGUUCCACCUCACAGGCGCCACUCAACUGUGGAACAUGCGUCUCUCCCAGGAGAGCCCAAUCACAGAUUGGAGCAAGAUUGGAGCAAAUUCACCCCCCCUCCAGACGCUACCUGCUAGGCGAGUUGGUCGCCUUGCGGCGGACCGGCACUGCGCACAUUCCUCGCGCACGUGGCGCGCGCGGGACCCCUAGGCAAGGAGCAGCAGGUCAACAUCUACACCGCUAGGCUAGGCAAGCCCCUCCGCACCAAUGUCGAGCUGUAGGACCGGCGGGACAUGGAGCAGGCCAUGGCGCUCGCUCGGGCCUAUUAGCGGCGCCGGUGGUAGAACCACCCAAGACGAUGACGACGGCAUCAUCAGCAUGCCCCCCCCCUCGCGCACAACUACGACCAAGCCAAAGAGUAUGACUACACCAGCAGCAGGCACAACAACGACGACAGCUACUACGGGGGCUCGCUCCUUCAAGCGCCUCACAUCUGACGAGAUGGCAAAGAGGAAGUGCUAAGGCCUUUGCUUUAACUGCGACGAGCAAUUCAGCAGAGGGCACAAGUGCAAGCAGCUGUUCGAGAUCACCAUCGUCAACGACUUCGAUGAUGACGACGAGCCAUCACUGAUGGUGAUCACGGCUGGCCCCAACGGAGGUCUCCAGGGCUGGUGCACCAUGCGCCUGGUGGGCGCUGUAUUCGGGGAGGGCGCACGUGUCGUCAUCGACACGGGCGCCACACACAACGUCGUCGACUUCAGCUUCGCCUGUCACAUAUAAGUCUCGGAGAGGCGCAUCAACGUCGGCAUCACCAUCGGCGACGGCUCCAGGGUGCGCAGCCGUGGCCUAUGCCGUGGGGUACCCAUCCGAUUGGACCGCGAGGUCUUUGCCCUCGACGCCUACAUCUCCACCCUCGACGGCGAGACAGACGUCAUCCUUGGUACCCCGUGGCUCGCGUCGUUAGGUCCCAUCACUUGGGAUUUCAGGACGCUAACCAUGAGCUUCAGGCGAGGCGACCGCAUCGUCCCGUUCGUGGGAGUCUUACCAGCACCAGCACCAGCUACUCUACUACCAGCCCCGCUAGUCCAGGCGGCCCUGCCAGCUCCAUCGGCAGCAGCACUAGCAGCAUCAUCGACUGCACCACCAGCCCCACAGGCGUACAGCUCCAGAACGGCGCCAUCGACCCCGACUUGCGCCAACAUUGAGGGGUUAAGGAGUGGGAACGCGUGCGAUGUGAUCUCUCCAUCUUUAGCAACAUCCAGAGGGCAGUUCAAGAUGAGCCUGAAUUGGCCGCCGUCAGGCGGGGAAUCACGUCACGCUAGGCAACUCGCACCUAGACCAUCAACGACAGCGUCAUCUUCUUCGCCGGGCGCGUCUACCUGCCAGCCUUGUCACCCCUGCUGUUGACACUCAUCCGCUCACGUCUCGCAGUCGGCGGCCACACGAUGACGAGUAUGGCGACAACUCGCUCUUUCCCAGCCAUGGUGAUCCUGACACAGGAGUGGCCACGAGCGUCCCUGGUACAACUUGACGUUCUCUUUUUGGACCAGCUAGAUGUGAGUUCCUCGUUGCAGGCCGCAACUUCUUCCGCGUCAACACCGAGAUGGGUGUGCCAGAUAUCUCGCCGCUACCUCGGGACGCCUCAGCUGUACUGUUCAGGGAGGUAUUGGACCUCACAGCGCCAGGUGCACGGCCCCGUACAUCCUUCGUCUACAAGGUGCCGGGUGUUCUCCUGAGAGGGGCUACUAGCCCUGGGCAAAUUACCCGCUAUCCAAUACCCGAACCCGAACUACCCGAACCCGUACCCGAACUACCCGAACCCGAUCUACCCGGUUACAAUUUCGGAUAGUGAUUCCAGAUACCCGAAAUUAGUUCGGGAAAUUCGGGUAACACCUCCCGGUACCCGAUUUACCCAUAUUACCCGAUUUACAAAAUUUGGUGAAAUUGUAUUAUUUAAAGCAUGUGACUGACUCUGUGAGACUAAGUCUGUGACCCUGUGUGUGUGUGACUCUCUGUAAUAUGUAUGACUUCAUGUGUGACAGAUUGUGAUUUAUGAGUUUGUGACUGAAUGCUGUUGAAAUUCUGUGUCAAAUGUUGGUUUUUUGAAUAUCGGGUAAUUCGGGAAUACCUGAACCCGAAUUAUCGGGUACCCGAAAUUUCGGGUAUUUGUUUUUCGGGGCUGAAUUCGGGUAACAUGUCCCAUUACCCGAAUUUCUUAUUACCCGAACUACCCGACCCGAAAAAUUCGGGUAACCCGAACGCCCAGGGUUAGGGGCUACAGCCACGCAUCUUCAAUUGGCUUCCUCCACCGACGACACUGGCAGUCGACAUGGGGGUAACGCAGGCCAUAGCUGCACCAGGGCCCAACAGCAACCGUGGGAGGCAACGCCACCUGCUGGCCGCCCACGACUUCAUCCUUCAUGGCUACAUCGGCGACCUGCGCUACUAUCUCCACUUCCACAUCGUCAGGACACUACGCAACAUCACCACCAUCUUGCUCGUGGGGCCGCCGCCCUAGCUGCCCCCCUCCUCUAAGAUCCUAACAAUGAGGUCAGCCUGCUAGCCCACUAGGCCCGCCGUGCAAAACUGUCUUUGCGGGUACCUGCAGAGACACGUUUUGCAAGUGGGCUUGAAAUGUGCAGCCUGCAAAGUCUUGCAGGAUUUUGUAGCCAGCCUGUGAGAUCCUGCAAUGUGCCUGCCACACCUGCAAGGUGGGGCGGCAUUCGCUCGGCAUUAUGCUGUGUGGUGACGGUGCGCUGCAUCCGUAUCGGCAUUACACUGUGGGAGUGCAGCUGGUGCCAUGCCACUGCCGUCGCUGCCGGCGGCCCUCCGGCGAGUGUCACGUGCUGCCCCACCUAUUCGUUCGGCUCCUCCGCUUGCACGACAGUACCCACUGCUACCCCACCAGCUCCUCUGCCUCUCGUUUCCGCUUGUACGAUGGCACAAUCCUCUCGUGUCCCGUCGCCGCUGGUGAGAUCACCCAUCUCCAUCUCCUUUUCCCUCUCCCGUCCCUCUCUCCACCUCAACAUUUUCUUCAAACCUAAUGUUGGCCUGUGUUAUUGAUUUUGAUAUAAAUCUCAGUGAAAGACAAGCUCUGCGAGAGGGAGUUGGGGAGAAGACCUACAUCAAUUGGGGCAGGAGCAUCAGAUUUUUAAGGUGUGUUUUGUUCUUUCUCCUUUGGCCCUUUCAUGAAGAAUGUUCAUGCUUUGUUGUAAUGUUUUGUUUCAAAAGCCGGUUAUUUCAAGUAGUGUUUCUCUAGAAUACAUUUUUUUUUUGGGAACAUCAAGGGUUACUGGAGUUAAAAUUUGCCUACAAGCAGAUAAUUAUCAAAUAUAACCCUUAGUUACUGAAGUUGAUUACUUAACUUCCAUAUGCAUUGCAUAUGCAUAGAAUGUUGAACGAUUGGUGUGGGAGUUCCAGAAUCCAGACAAUGUGGCCUUCGUGUAUUAAUCUUUGAAGUGGAAACCUAACAGAAUGUGAAAUUGGAGUUUUAGAGAUUAUAUAUACUUUUCCUUUGAACUAUGCUUAAGCUACUUUUAUUUCCUUUUAUUCUGCAGUUUUACAUGUUUCCUUUUAUACUUUUCAUAUGCAGGUACCAUGGCAACAGUGCCAUCCAAUGUCAACCACAGGAAGUUGGGGGCUCCUCAGGUUGCUCACCUUCGAUCAGCUCUCCAUGAACAAAGCGCAUUGGCUUUCCUGCAUCCACUGUAGCGUUCGAGUCUGCAUUCAGUACAGGUGGACGAAUCAUCAGUGACCAUAGGACUAGGCUUUCGGGCAACACAGUUAAGCUUUGAUUUCCUUCCAAGAUUGUAUUAGGGCAGUUGAUAAUUAAUUAUUUAUUUUUUGCAUUGAUUUAUUCAUUUGACUCGUAAAAACCUAUUAACUUUCUUAUUUUAUAGGUACAUCUUACAUGGGACAUCAUGAAUAUUAACAGCUCGGGUAGCAGCAUUUUAGAACUUGGAGGUGCAUGAUCACCUGAAGGACAAGGUCAGCCUCUAUGCUACUGCCAUUUUCUUGUGACAUCACAUAUUCAAUUGAAAAACCUAUUGGUAGAAGAAUAUAAUUUUCUUGUGACAUCACAUCUUAGCUCGCUGUUGUGUCAGGUGCGUCGUUCGUCGGGGGCGGCCGGCGUAGAUUGUAGCCGAAGGAGGUGUGAGGGCGAGGGGAGAAGAGCCGCCGUCGACCCGUGGUUGCCGGCGACUUUGCUGCUGGCCGAUCUGCAGGGAGGAGUUGGAGGUGGUCCAGUGUGGAGGCGCAGGGAGAGGUGGAGAGGCAGGGGGCAGGGUAGGGUUUAACCUUUCCCUUGCUGAUCCAAAAUAGAUUACACCCUUUUAGUUUUAUAGUGACUCCCCUCUUAACUCCCAAGCAAUCUAAGGAUGGAAUCCUUCCAUCUUACAACUCAAUCUCUAAUUAUUACCUAACUUAAACAAAAGGACUUUCUAAUACUUGAAUAGACUAAAGAUAGAAGGGAGGGGGCUGUUGGGCGCCUAGACUCCCUAGUAUGGUGCGGCCAGGGCUGCAGGUGUCCCUGCACGCCUGCCUACUGCUGUUGGGCCUCCCUGGCCCAUGGCGCCAGGGCCGUGGCUGCCCAUGCACAUGACAUGCUGGCUUUAGUGUUUGCCUGUUUGGAGUUUUAGGGCUUAGGUUCUAAGGUAGGGGUGUCGGACAACUGGAAUUCAGUACAACUAUAGGGUACGUGGCUACUUGUCAAGUGAUAGUCUUGUGCUGUGAAUAUAAUCCUGAAACUAAAACUUAUGUGCUUGCCCUUGUUGAUGCAAGGUAGCUUUGCAGGAACUGUAUCGUUGAUUUAAAUUUUCCAUACUCCUUGUGGUGUCCUGUUGUAAAAUUUGACCCAUUGUUUGUCAUUUGGUUUACCUAAUGAUCCCUCUUACUGAUCAGCUGGAGUAACUAGAUAUAUUUUGUGAUAGGAAAUGCAUCUUUUGUAUCAUGGGGCAUUCGUGUUCAUGCCCUGUUUUGAAUGUCAAUGGUGAUUUUACCCUCGUUUUUUCAACUUUAUGAUUUUGCCCUUACUUUUUGAAAUCGAAGAGAGUUUGCUCCUAUUCUGUGAAGUGCACUUAAUGGUGUUAAAAUUGGUACAAAAAGAUAAGUUUGCCUUUGCGGAUUUACCCUUACUAUUAUGAGUUCUUUGUGACCUUACCCUUGUUUUGAAAAAAAAAAUAGGACAGCAUUUUGACAGGUUUUAACAAAAGAUUGUAACUAAUCUGACACAUGUCGACCAAUCUGACAUGGAUAUUUGGAUCUGACACAAUUUGUUAGAGUUUUGACAACAUCAUGGCACAAAUAUUUGACAGAAAAAGCACCAGAUCACAUAUAUUAGACCAACAUAAAGCACCAGAUGACACAUAUGUCCAACAUAAAGCACCAGAUCACAUGUAUUGGACAACAAAACCACUGGAUGUUCACAUUUCAUCCCAUCAUGUCCAUACCACAACCUAAGUUCACAUGUCAUCCCAUCAUGUUCAGGUUACAACCCAACAAGUUCACGUGCCAUCCCAACUAGUACAGAAUGUACAUAGCAAAUGGAAAACAUGACACAAGCAUCUCUGCCUAGCAAUGCAGCCAAGCUUCUUGAGUUUCCUCCUCUUCCUCUUGCUCUUCCACCUGCAUCUGAGCCUGCACCUGCUCCUCUCCCUUCCCCUUCCAGUUCACCUUCCCCUUCUAGUUCUUGUUGCACUUGCACUUCAUAUGACAAGAGUAAAAGUGUGUUAUUAAACAAGUUGGUGGUACAGAAAUGAAUAAAUAAGCAAAUAAAUUGAAAUGAGUAUCAAUCCAUGACUUUGAUGCUUGUGCUACAUUUGGGUCAUUGCUCCCUCAUGAUCCAUUUUGUGAAAUGAGUAUCAAUCCAUGACUCACAUUGAUGCUUGUGCUACAUUUGGGUCAUUGCUCCCUUAUGAUCCAUUUUGUGAGGAUGGUAGCUUUCUCUUUGACUACGAUCCAUUUUGUGAAGAUGAUAGCUUUCUCUUUUGACUAGUAGUAGGACCUCCUUGGCAAUGCUUGGCUGUAUGGUCUAGAUCAUGACAUUAAGAACAUGGUCUCUGUCUCUUACUAGUGCUAGCCUCAUCAUAUACUUUGAUCCUAGAUUUUCUUGGUCUCCCAGGUUUCCUUCUUAACUUGGGCUUCUUAAUUUUGUAGCCCAAAUUAACACGUGGCCAGCUGUCAUUGGAUUGAAAGUACUUGCAUAUGCCUUUCUGAACCUCUCAACAGAGAAGUAUUCAUGGACAAAGGCAUCCAUUUGCACAUGCCUACUUAGUUUUGCAAUGAAAGCUAAAGUAUGGCUAUAUGGCUUUCCAGUAACUUGCCAAGCCCUACAACUACAUGUCUUUUGCUCCAAGUUUACAACAUGCCUAAAUCUGUUCACAGUUACACAACUAUCCCAACCCCACAUAUUUGUAGGGAUACGAGGUAGGCUACACUAGCGCAAAUCAAAAAUUUCUACCGCGUAAAACCAAGAAGAACUGCCGUAUAAGGAUCACGGGAUUACCACUCGACGCACUAUUGGUGCGGAAGAUGUAGAUAUGUGUCGAUGCAGUGAAGACGAUCACGUAGUCGUACGUAGUCGAUCAACGUAGUCGUACGUAGUCGAUCACGUCAACGUCCAGCAGCUCCUCAGCAGCUCGUCCACGUGCAGCAAGAUCGCCCCCGGUGCCGCGGCUCGUCGUCGGCUCGUCGUGGCUCGUCGGCGGCUCGUCCAAGUGCUGCAGGCGCAACACCUUCAAGGUAUCCACACGUGCAGGGAGGAAGCGUCGCAAGCUGGAUUGCUAGAUCCGCGAGUUGCAACAGGUGAGGGCGUGGGAGGAGCGGCAGGAGUGUUUCGCCAAAAAGGUGUAAACCCUAGGGCGCCCCCACCCCUCUAUUUAUAGAGGUUCCUAACGGGCCUCUGGGUCCGAGGCCUAUUAGUACUUCUAAACCUAAUCCAACUCGGAUCAGAUCCGAAUUGGGCUUCCAGCCCCUUAAGUGUGUGACCCUAUGGGUUCGGAUACGUAUAGACAUGGCCCGAGUACUCCUACUUAGCCCAAUAGUCGGUAGCGGCCUCUAGCCAAACGUGCCAACUCCUAUACGCACACGAAGAUCAUAUCAGACGAACCAUCACAACUUAAUAUACAUGCUAUUCCCUUUGCCUCACGAUAUUUGGUCUAGCUUCAAGCUGACCGCUCUUUCUUGAUUCUGUGAUUCGGAAUCCCUUUGUAGGUUAAACUCUUAACCGUACGUAGCAUGGCCAUGCAUUUUCGGAUCCGAUCACUCGAGGGGCCCAGAGAUAUCACUUUCAAUCAGAGAGGGGCAAAUCCCAUCUUGAUUGACCAUGUCUCAUAGCAUGCUUCUUGACAAACCCGAAAGCUACCUUUAUAACUACCCUGUUACGGCGUAGCGUUUGAUAGCCCCUAAGUAGGUCGAUCCACAUCUAGAAUACAUGCGACAAUCUCAGGUCUAAGACAAAGCGUAUAUGUUGUUUAAAGAGAGAACUACUUCUCGUGUUGGGUCAGUCCUAGCACAUGUCUCCACAUGUGUCCACAUUAUUAGUUCAACAUCUCCAUGUCCAUGACUUGUGAAACAUAGUCAUCAACUAAUACAUGUGCUAGUCUAAUAUUCAUGUGUGUCCUCACAUGAACUCCGACUAGGGACAACUUUAGAAUAAUCAUACAAGUAAAGAGUUUCACAUACAAUUCACAUAAUUGCAAAUCAAUUCAAGUAGCCUUCAAUGGAUAUUCAAUGAACACAACAUACAAAUCAUGGAUACAAAUGAAAUAUCAUCAUCUCUAUGAUUGCCUCUAGGGCAUACCUCCAACAAUAUUAGUACCUCAUGAUCCUUGAUAGUCUUGAAUUUAGCAUUUAGAGCAUUAGUAAUAGAAGGGAUGAUUAUUCCAGACAUUUUUCUAGCAAUUUUAUCUCUCAAAACAAAUUUCAAUGAUCAUCUGUCUUAUCCUAUCAUGCAUGUCUACAAUUUGAAAAUACUUGCAUUUAGACACCCAACUAUUGAAAUUCAGAGAGGUUGUUGUUGAUGUAAUCUAUAUUGCAUCCUCGCUGAAUUUGCUUCUACUCCACACAUAUGGAUGAUUUUCAUCCAACCAUGCAACUGCAUUGGGAUCUUUCUCCUCUAUCUUUGACAUGAAGUAGUUGAACUUGUCAGCUGUGAAGCUCUUUGCUGCUGCCCACAUAUUCUUACCAUAAAGACACCAUGGAAUCCAUUCUUCUUCAUAUUCUUCCACAAAUGCCUCAUGUACUAUCUAUGUUCCAGUCCUAGGUAUACAUCUUCUACAACCCCCUCUAUCUCUUUGCCGGCAUCUGUACUAAUGAUCAAACCCGUAGGAUGACCAAUUGCAUUCUUCAAGUUGUUGAUAAACCAAGUCCAAUUAUCCUUGGACUCGGUCUCAAUCACUCCAUAUAACACUAGAAAUAGCCAGUUAUGACCAUCCACCGCCACAGCUGCUGCUAACUGACCUCUUGACCUUCCUGUAAGAUGAGUGGCAUCCAUGGCAAUGUAGGGCCUGCAUCCUUGCAAAAAUCCAUCAAUGCAUGGCUUAAGAGCAACAAAGAACCUUGUGAAACACACAUCACCAUUGUGGUCUUCAGUGUCUAGCUCAACAAUACUACUAGGAACAAAUCUCAGCAGCUCAGCUUGAUAUGUGGGUAGCAAAUCAUAGCUGUCAUCCCACUUUCCAUAUAUCAUGUCCAAUGCUCUCAUCUUGCCUCUAACAACUCUAUAAUAUGGAACUUCAAUGGAGUACUUCUUCUUUAACCUGUCCUGCAACUCCCUUUGUCCCAUUUCAGGUUCUUCCCGUAACAAGUCGACCACUCUAUCAGCUACCCAUUUCUUUGAGGCCAUUGUAUCACCAUAGUUGUUGACUGAACCACAAGUAUGCUUUGGUCCACUUGUCUUAACCUACAACAAAAAACAGCAACAAAAAGUAACUUUUCUGAGUAAAAACAGCUAGAAAAUAUACUAUUUUUGAAUAGAAACAUCCACGAAAGUAUUGAAUUUACCUUGCAUCCAAUGUAAUUCUUGCUUGUUGAAGCAUAAAACUUCCAAUUGCAGCCCUGUUCAGCUCUCUUCCAGAUUGCUCUAAAUCUGCUCUUAUCCUUUUUCACGAUCUCAAAAGCAUGAUCAUUCAAGAUAGCAUGAUGGGUAACCACUGAUUUGCAUUGGUGUCCACAUCUGGGAACACCACAUUAAUAUCAAUACAUGGAUCAUCAACAUCAUAUGAAAAUGGAGGAGGAUCAAUCCUCAUCAACUAUUUAACCAUCAGGAUCAAAUUCAGGGUUAGAAUCGUUAGAGCAUGAAGAUGCAGCCAAAUUAGUGUCAUAGCUUCUAUCACUUGUGCUAGAAGUGAAUGUGUGUCGGAGUACAUGCCGUCCUCCUCAUGAACUUCUACCCUCUCAUAUGUGGCUCUCUUCUUUUUAGAUGUGGAUUUGGCUCUCACACUUGUGGCUGUUUCACUUGUGGCUCUCACAUUUGCGGGUAUCUCACUUGUGGCUGUCUCAUUUGUGGGUAGUCUUCCUUAGAGAAGGGUGGCACCUACGUUUCAUUGGAGAAAACUGCAAUGGGCCCUAAAAAUCAUUUAUCUGGGCUCCAUUCUCUAGAUUGAGUUCAAACCAUUCAGACAGAUGUUCAUCAUAUUUUAUCUUAAUAGAGUCAUUGUCCAACUCACGCCACAAAGAUAUAUAUUGCUUUGAACCCCACAUGUAGUGUACAGCUAUGAAGUUAACUAACUGCAUCAGCCCAUAGUUAUGUGUGUCAACAACUUGUCGUGGUAAUGUUUUACCCUGCAGCCAUGACUUUGGGCCCCAUCAGGCAAGCUGAAAAACGAACAAACUCUAGCAACAAGUUGCAAAUCCCUGUGAUUUGGCCUACAAAUCAUAGCACCGAAUAUGAAUUUAGCUAAAUCGCUCUAAAGACCACAACUACAGACCCAUUUCAAUUGAAAUCUAUUGCGCACAGGGAUAUUCAAGAUCAGGGAUUACCUAGCCUCUUCCAUGGUCUUGGUGUUGCGCUCUCCCUCGAUGUCCUUGUGCUCAUGUGGAAGCAGUGGAGGUGUUGGGGCUGGAACCCGUGCCACCUGCGUUGGGGCCGCGCCUGGCAUCGGGGCUGGAACCCGCGCCCCCUACGCUGGGCUCGCGCCCGGCAUUGGGGCUUCAACGCGCGCGCCCGGGGCCGCGCACCCUCGCGCUCGGGCCAGGCUGCCUCCUCCCGCUACCGUCGGUGCCGGACGGGGCAACACAGGUGCACCUCUUGCCGGUCCGCCGCCUGGAUGGCCUCCCGCAGUCGGCUGCCGCCGCCAGUAGCCGGCCGCCGCCGCCCCUAGGUUUUCGUGGGAGAGGAGCCAGGCGACACUCUGUGGGUUCGAGCAGCCACGAGUUGGAGGAUAGGAGAUGGAUAAGGUUAGGGGUACUGAUAUCUUUUCGCAUUGUGUUUAGUAUUUUUCCUAUUUCUUUUAUUUUUUUAAAGGGGUCAUCACGUAACAGAGUUAGAAACAGGGGUAGAUGGAGGCUUCAUCUACGAAAAGAAGGGGCAAAAUCACAAAGUUCAAAAAUUGAGGACAAAAUCACCAUUAGACUUCACAGUAGGGGCAAGAUCCCCAAUCUCCCUUAUAUCAAAUAUCGCAGUAGUAACAUAGUAGCAAAACUAGUUCCACUAUGGUGCUAAAAAGAAUUGUACCUGUCCAGAUUUAGUUGGGUCAUGUGGUUUUAGUUUUGCAUGAACUGUUCGUCUUCUUUCUGCUGCCUGAACAAGGUUCUAUUACCCCAUACACCAUACAAUGAACACUAUCAGUACUUUGUCAAUGAUUUCAGUGAAAAGUGAGAUGACUGUGAGGAUCUGAUGAUACUAUUAGGUGCCAUGCUAUUGUAUAUGAAUUGUUAGAUAUCAGUUUCCUUUCUUUUGUUCUUUUUUUACUGCUGAAGAAUUUUAUGCAGUGGCUUUUUUUCCCAGAAUGAAGAUGGUUGAUAGUGAAUCGUUUCACACGUUUUAAUUUACCCCCUCUCUAUUUUAUUGCAUACUUGCCAUGAUAUUGAACAUACAGCCCUGGAUUAAUAUGGUUUCAGCAUAUACUUGGCUGUGGUACUUGCCUGGAGUGACAUACUGCCCUGUGUAAUAUGGUUUGUGUGCAACCAUGUGCAGUGAUAGUGAAAGGCACCGUUUACCAGAUGUACACGAGCACCUUCGCCAGUACUACUGACAACAGUGGUGCAUGCUAUAUCCGAUCAGCUGAGUGGAAAGUAGCAAGACUUCUAGUGAAAACCGUUCUUGGCAUCAUUUAUUGGACGGCAAGCAUUAUGUGGUUCUGUAUUUUUACGUCAGAAGGUCAAAAUUGCAUUUGAAAACAUUAGCGCUUGCUACAUGGCUCUGAAUUUAUGAGAAUGUCAAGUGGAUGAAUGAAGCGUCGACCAUGGACUAGUCGCCUGUGACGUCUUGCGUAUCUUGACUGGAGAAACCUGGUGGUACACUGCCUCGUCAAAGCAUUUGUUUUUGGCCGCGCAGCACCAGCCCAUAAUGUAGUUUGCUUCUAAUCAGCGAAAACAUCGGAAUUGCUGUUGUUUCUCAGACAUUGCUAACCUUGACUGAGUGCCAGCGAGAAGCAUCGAACAUUUGAGGUGAAAUGUGCGGCAGGAUGUAAGCCCGGCCGUUUAUUGCAGGUGAAGCGGGUUGGGCAUCCAAAACUAGCUGAAUCCUUGAGAGUAGCACGUACAGGGCGGUCUGCAAAUCACAAGUCUACUGGUACUCACCUGAAGAUGUCUAAGGUCAAGCUCCAUCACUGUGCCUCAGAGUUCAACGCGUUCAACCAGUCAAUUGCCCCCACUCCAAGUAGCGAGACGCAACAGACCACGACGCUCACUAAUUUGACUUAACUGGAUUGGCUUUUGAUUACAAUCUUUCUAUCUAAUAAAUGGAUUUUCCAUUCUAAUUUUUUGUACGUAGAUUUCACGUGUCAUAGCCCCGAUACUAGUUUCACCCGCGUUAAAUAAUUCUAUUUGAAGGAAUCAAGCCCAAUUCAGUUGGUGUAUAUACUGGCUGGCUGACAUCACCCAGUUCUUCGAUUCUCUUUAGAUGUGGUAGAGACUCAACCUCUGUUUUCUUUGUCAUUAGAAGUGUUUUUAUUUUUAUGGGACAAUUUAAAUUUAGCAUUUUAUUUAGUUCCACGGGUCACACGAAGUGGUACGUUGUACACUCUUCUGCAAGAGAAGUCUUAUUCAGUUGGAAUCCUACUUGCAACUCGCGUCCAGUAAUUUCUUCUUCAAUAGACCGAACACAACGCAAAUGGUUGUUCAAAGCCUUCCUCGGCAAUUAAAGGAUUUGGUCUAUAUAUUCAUUCUUUCAUUCUUGCAGUCCCCUUUUCCUCGGCUACUCGAAACAACAACAACAAAAAAAAAAAAAAGCAGCGAACUAUCAGUAAUGUACUAGUAGCCCGUGACGUGUACAAAUCUUGACUGAAGACAGCAGAAGCAAAGAUGUGUUUGGUAGACUUGCAUUUCCAGGCAAUUGCUUGUUGACCCCAACCACUACUGAAAACUCGGCAUUUGUCCCGAAGUUUAAUUAGUACCGAUUGGUUUUUGAUCCGGUACUGAUGUGAGCAUUAGUACUGAUCUAACGGCUAGUUCCUCAUGAGCCCCCGUGAGCUCCUUUAGUACCGGUUGGAGCCCCCAACUAGUAUUAACUUAUCUCCUAUAAAUCAGGCGUCUUCUUCCUCCUGCCCAAGCUAUUUUCUUCAGCUCGAGCUUCAUCCAUUCAUGACGAAAUAGAGGAGGUGCUGCUGGAUUUUUGACCAUUUCGUGAGGAUUUCACUCAUUCAAGUAUUCUAAAGGUUAGAAACUUCAUCCACCCAUGAUACAUGGUUAGUAUACUAAGUUUUAUGCUAUAGAGCUAGGGUAAUUUGUGAUUUUUAGAAUAAGAUACAAUGGAGAAAAUUUUCAUUUGUAUGCAUGUGUUAUUUAGAGCUCAUAUUUGUGAUUUUUAGAAUAAGCUACAAUUUUUUGGAUGCUAUAUUUCGUAUUAGUCAAAGAAAUUGAUACGUGGUUAGAGGAAUAAUUUCAUAGUUUAGCCAUUUACAAAUAUGAGCUAAAUAAAUUAUGGGAAAAAAUAUAAUUUGUUCAUAUUUUAGUCAUUUGCAAAUAUGAGUGAGAUAAAUUAUGGUCAUAGAAAUAAUAAGAUGAAAUAAAGGAAUGUAAUUACUCAUUUUUUGAUAAGCUCCAAUAGAGAAAUUUUUCAUUUAUAUGUUAUGUUUGAGCUAAAUAAAUUGUGGAAAAAAAUAUAAUUUAUUCAUAGUUUAAUAUUUGCAAAUAUGAGCUAAAUAUAUUGUGGUACAUAGAGAUGGCUACUGCUGCUGGAGGUAGUAUCGAUUGUAGGGGUGAUCGUCGUUCCACUCGCGGCAACGGAAAAACCAUAGUUGACCCUCAUGAUAAGCUGAAGAAAAUGAGCAUAUGGGAGAGAGCAAUGCUUCAUUAUUUGGAAAGAUGCCAUGCAGAUGUUGUUGCGACAGGUUAGGAACCUCCUUUUAGUGGUCGUUAUGCUCCACUCCCAGUCCCGAGGGUUUCAGGUCCAUUGAGUAUUACCAUCGCAGGAGGCACAAAUAAACCACAGGAUGAGGCUGGGUCAGCGAAACCUUAUUAUUUGCCACCCAAGAAUGCUUAAUGUCCUCCUAGAUAGUACUUAGUGGAUGGUUUAUCGUAGUGUAUCAUGUUGUUUGGGUCUAAAAUUUAAAUUUGUGUAUUUCUAUUUAACCUUUCAGCAACAUUUGAGUUUGUUGUAGUGUAUCAUGUUGUUUGAGUCUGAAAUUUAAAUUUGUGUAUUUCUAUCUAAAUAUUAGCAACAUUUGAGUUUAAUGAAAUUUGUAUCAUGUUUGUUAUGUUUCAUGAAAUUUUUAUCAUGUUUGUUAUGUUUGAUGUAUAAUUCUAUGGAUGAUCAAAUUAUCUUUUGUUCGGUAAUACUUUGUAGAUGGAUAAUCAAUGGAUGUACAGCGCAGACAAAUGCUCCAUGGAGUGCAUUAAUGGCUUGCGUGGUUUUCUCGAUGUGGCAGAGUCCAACAAGCCGCCGUCUGCUUUCAUUUGCUGUCCAUGCCGAAUUUGCAAAAAUGAAAAGGAUUACUCAUCCAAAAAGACUAUUCAUGCCCACAUAUAGAGUUUCGGAUUCCUGCCUAACUAUUUCAUUUCGACCAAGCACGGGAAAAGAGAAGUUAUGAUGGAAGAAGAUGAUGAUGAUGAUGAAGAUGAUAACUACACUCCUGACUAGACUCAAGAAGUUGCCUUUGCAGAUGUUGCAAUGGGCGAGGCUGAAGAAGAGAUGGUUGCAGAAGAAGGUCCUACCGAUAAUCUAAAUCAGGUGUUGCGAGAUGCAAAGGAAGACUGCGAGAAUGUGAAGGAGACAAAGAAAUUUGAAGUAUGUUAGAUGAUCAUAAGAAAUUGUUGUACCCAAAUUGCAAACAGGGGCACAAAAAGUUGGGUACCACACUGGAAAUGCUGCAAGGGAAGAUAAAAAUUGGAGUUUCUGACAAGGGUUUUGAUGAGUUAAUGAAAAUUAUAAAGAACAUGCUUCCUGAGGGGAAUGAAUUGCCGUCCUCAAUCUACAAAGCGAAAAAGGUUGUUUGCCCUUGGGGUUUGGAGGUACAAAAGAUACAUGCAUGUCCUAAUGAUUGUAUCCUUUAUCGCGGUGAGGAAUAUGAAAAAUUGGAGGCCUGUCCUGUGUGCGAAGCGUUGUGUUAUAAGAUCAGGCGAGAUGACUCCAGCAAUAUUGAGGGGUAGGCUAGUAAGAAGAAAAUUCCUGCGAAGGUAAUAUGGUAUUUCCCUGUAGUACCACGCUUGAAGCGUUUGUUCAGAAACCAGACACAUGAAAAGUUGAUGUGUUGGCACAAAGAAGAACGUAAGGAAGAUGAAAUGAUCAGAUACCCCACUGAUGGGUUCCAGUGGAGAACAGUUGAUAGAGAAUUUCAUGAGUUUGAAAAGGAUGCAAGGAAUAUAUGGUUUGGUUUAAGAAUAGAUGGAUUCAAUCCAUUCGGUGAGUUCAGUAGUGGUCAUAGCACUUUGCCUGUGACCUUAUGUAUGUUCAACCUUCCAUCGUGAAUGUUCAUGAAGCAGAAGUUCAUUAUGAUGCCUGUAAAUAUCCAAGGCCCAAAACAACCUGGCAAUGACAUUGAUGUUUACCUAACAUCAUUGGUUGAUGAACUUUUACUGUUAUGGAAGGAAGAAGGUGUACGUGUAUGGGAUGAGGACAAAAAUGAUACUUUUAAUCUACGAGCAUUGUUGUUCGUAACCAUCAAUGAUUGGCUGGCGCUUGGUAAUCUGUUCGGACAGACAAACAAGAGAUAUCGAGCCUCGACGCACUGUUUAGAUGAUACUUGCAUCAUGUAUUUGAAACACUAUAGAAAGGUCGUGUAUACAUGCCAUCGUCGAUUUAUUCCUGCUAAGCACCUGUUAAGAAAGAAAGGGAAGCAUUUUGAAGGAGAGGAAGAAAAACGUACUAAGCCCGUUCACCAUAAUGGUAAACAUGUAUUUUCUAUGAUAAAGGAUGUGAGGGUAGCCUUUGGCUAGGGCUCUGAUAGCUAACCUGUUCCGAACGAUGAGAAUAGACAUGCACCCAUGUGGAAGAAGAAGUCUAUAUUUUGUGAGCUACCUUAUUGGGAAGUCCUCGAGGUCCGUAAUGCAAUCAAUGUGAUGCAUUUGAUGAAAAUCUUUGCGUGAACGUGCUUGGCUUCCUGGGUACAGAUGGAAAGGCAAAUGAUACAAUUGAAGCACAUCGGGACCUAAAACGUAUGAAACAAGGAGAUGACCUACAUCUGGAAAAGAGAGAUGAUGGACAUUACUUGCAUCUUGCCAGUUACACUAUCAUAAAGGAAGAGAAGAAAAGAAUGUUUGAGUGCUUGAAUAGUAUCAACGUCCCAUCGGGCUACUCCUCGAAUAUACAGGGAAUAAUAAAUAUUAAAGAGAAGAAAUUCACAAAUCUAGAGGCCCAUGACUGCCACGUCCUGAUGACACAAUUGCUGCCUAUUGCACCAAGUGGUAUUCUACAGAGAAUGUGAGAAUGACAAUCGUGAAGCUAUCUGCAUUCCUCAACAUAAUUUCUCAGAAGGCAAUCCAUCCAAACAAUUUACUAAAGGUACAGAAUGACGUGGUGCAAUACAUUAUUAGCUUUGAGAUGGUCUUUCCACCUUCCUUCUUUAAUAUCAUGACCCACCUUCUAGUCUACCUUGUUGAAGAGAUUUUUGUUCUCAAUCCUGUAUUUCUAUACAAUAUGUUCCCUUUUGAGAGGUUUAUGGCAGUUCUGAACAAGUAUGUUCGUAAUUGUGCCCGUACAGAAGAAAGCAUCACAAAGGGAUAUGGAACAGAGGAGGUCAUUAAGUUUUGUCUUGACUUUAUUGAUGACCUGAGUUCGAUUGGAGUCUCUGUAUCAAGCCAUGUAUCAAGCCAUGAGGGGAGACUCAGGGGAAAGGGCACACUAGGGAGGAAAGCUCGGAUGGACAUCGAUGAGAGUACAUUUCGUAAAUCACACUUCAUGGUGCUGCAACAAACUUGGAGGAGCACAAGACCAUUGUACGGUGCUUAAACAAGGGGAAGACUGAGGCCUGGGUUACACGUCAUCACAUUGACACUUUUGCCUCUUGGUUGUGGCAAUGACUGAUGACACGAUUGAAGAGCAACUAGCAUGGUUGGCUAGGGGUCCAUCUAUCUCAGUAUCAACAUUCCAAGGAUACGAGAUAAAUAGGUACACAUUUUACACGAUAGCCCAAGACCAAAAGAGCACAAACCAAAAUAGUGGUGUCCGUAUAGAUGCAAUAAACAACAAUGGAAAAAAUAGAUACUAUAGUGUCAUCGAGGAGAUGUGAAACUCGACUAUGGACCUUUGAAUAUCUAUCUGUUCUGGUGGCAAUGGGUGAAACUUACUGGAGGAGGUGUAACGGUAGACAACUAUGGGGUGACAAUAGUGGACCACAAUAAGAUUGGAUACAGAGAUGAACCAUUCAUCCUAGCCAAUGAUGUGACUCAAGUUUUCUAUGUGAAGGACAUGUCAAGCAAACCAAAAUAGAAGGGUGCUAAUAAGUUAGAUGACCAGCCAAAGCGCCACAUAGUUCUUACAGGGAAAAGAAAAAUCAUUGGAGUUGAGGACAAAACUGACAUUUCAGAAUAUUAUGAUCAGUUCAAUGAUCUUCCUCCAUUUUCAGUCGAGGUUGACCCAAGCAUCCUAUUAUCCAAAGAGAAUGCUCCAUACUUACACCGUGAUCACAACCAGGGGAUGUUCGUCAAGAGGAAGGUCAUUAACGUUCCAUUAGAUGAUGAUGUGUAAUGUAUUAAAACCAUUACAGUGUGUUUUGUGGUCAAGUGUAUUAAUGUAAUAACGCAUUGUAAUGAUAUCUAAUGUAUUCCAUGGGUUUAUUAACAAUACUAUUUGCAAAAAUCUCACCCUAUUAAAUAAGAACUAAUUUUUGCAUAGUUAAAAUAUUAAAUAUUUCAAUUUUUUAGCACCAUUAAAUAUUAAACAAUACAUUUAGGUACAAUUAAACAAGUACAUGACUAAGUUAUGGUAAACAUGUUAAUAACACUACUGGCACUAUUUUUCUAAAUUUUUGUAUGGUCAAAAUAUCUAUUUUUUUGAAUUUUAAAGUUAGCAUAAGUAUUAUGACCAUUAUAACCUAUUACUAAGUUAAAAUUAAUAUGAUAUUUGAAUGCAUCUAAUUUUUUUUAUAGUCAAGCUAACAAAUUGUUUUUGCAAUUUUAUGAAUGUUAUUUGUUUUACUAUGCAAUAAAUUUUAAAAAAAGAAAAUAAAAAGAUGUUUAGGCGGGAAGGCGGAACAGGAGGCUACAAAACCCUUUAGUACCAGAUGAUAAAAUUACCCGGUACUAAAUGGGGCAUUUUCAUUUUGGCACGCUCAGCCCCCCGUUAGUACCAGGUGUUAGCUAGACCCGGUACUAAAGGGUAGGCCUUUAGUGUGGCAGAACCGCCCAAAUUAAUCUGACUAAAAUGCACUUAGGUCACCUGACACGCGAUCACUUUAAGCAAGCCAACUUGGUCGUCUGUCGGAUUUCAUUCGAUAAACCACUUACUCAGGAUCGAGAAGCAUUCCUCACACGAAGGUGAGUGGGCACAGAGAUUCCAACAUAGUUCAACAAUUUAGUACAUCAGAGUUUUUGAAAUCUAAACAAGUUGCAAGGUUGUAAACACCGAAGAAGUAAAACAAGCGGAAGCUAAACGUCGAUACAUGAUAUCAUGACGAAGCCGAUCAUGACAUCAACGAUCCAUGCCCUCGCCGUCCAAGGAGAGAUCCCACUCAACUAUCCAACCCGGAGGGAACUAGGUAGGCCAAGUGGUGCCAGCAGCCAUACUAUCGACAUUACCUGAAAAGUUAAGCCACAAACAGGGUUGAGCAACUAAUACUCAGCAAGACUGACCCGACAGGUGGUAACUACACCACCGACUCCUAGACGUGCAAGGCUUUUUGGCUGUGGGUUUGUUUUUGCCAAAACGCCUAAAGUUGGUCCUUACUUUCCAUAUUUUAGCUCAAGUUCUAAGUUCAUUACCCAAUCUAGAUUAGCAACUUAUACUAAGCAAGCAUUGUUUCCAAACAAUUAAAGACAAGCAUCAAGAUUAACAUCAUCAUCAUGUUCCAUCUUUACUUAGUGUAGAAUAGCGAUCAAGCAGUUCCAAACUGUGAGAGGCAGACGAAUUGAUUCGAAUUUAUUAACCAUGCAUGGCGAACCUAAUCUCACGACAUUCGCGCACCACGAAGGGUCGCUUCAUUUUUCAGCCAUCCCCAUCGAUCCCUUAGGCACGUGUCAGGUCCAAACUUCCUUUGGCAUGCAAUGCUCCAUAGUCUCAGCCUCUACCGUACUGUGACCGCACUUGCACCCACAUGAUGCACCAUGGGAACGACGUUCCAAGGACAGUAGGGGUAUAUGCCACACCCUAGUUCACUCAGGUACUAGGUAUGAGAUUAGUACUUUCAAACACUUGAUCAUGAACGCCGACACGUUUCGACCUUAGCAAGUUCAUUACUAGACAUACGGGGCAAACCACCACAUCAGAACUAUUCCCGGUCCCGUCCGUCAUCCUUAUGGUUGUAGCAUGAGUAAACAAACAACUCCUAUAACUCGCGAGUGACAGGCAAUCACUCGACUUUUAUCGAGUCCUAUUUAGCACAUCAACUACUCGACCUUUGCAACUAGUGUUCAGAUCAGAGGUACUAAGUUCAUGCAUCUACGGUUUCAAUCAACUCCUACAAAUGUAAAUGCACAAAUCAUAAGCAUCCACAUAUUGCAUAAUUUAAAAUAGGGAAACAUGCACUGGGGCUUGCCUUCAGGGAAAGUCAGUGGGUCUUCAAGGUCUUUAUCUAGCUCGGGCUCAACUUCCGCGUGAUGUAGCUCUGCGGUGGGUUCCUCUUCAAGCGUAGGGUGGAGCUCGUAGGUUCCGUCAGCGAUAUUAGCUUCUAGAAGACAUGCACAUGCAAAGAGUUUAGAUUUUGCCAUGCUUUGCAUGAAGGAUGCAAGGCAUGACUCAUGCUGGAACGAAUGUUGCAUUUAGGCCACAUUCACCUAAACAAGGUUCAAUAAAUUAUAGAAAUGUGCAUAAAAUUGUCGAAUUAGCUAGAAAUUAUAGAAAAUAGUUGGAAUAUCCUAUUCAUUGUAGUUUGAUCUAUGUACAACAUUGAUUAGUCAUUUAUUAUAACAAAUUGUAUAAGUAUUAGUCAUCCUUUUUUAUUGUCAUUUACUGUAAUAAAUUGUAUAAGUAUUAGUCAUUUUUUUUAGUCAUUUAUUUUUACAAAAUGUAUAAGUUCUAACCAUUCUUCUUUGUAGUCAAUUAUUGUUACAAAAUUUAUAGUCAUUAAUUCCAUAGUCAAUUAUUGUUACAAAAUGUAUAAGUUUUAUUUAGUCAUUCUUUUUUAAUUAUCAUUUACUAGCAAUUCAUAGUAAAUAUUAUUUUAGUCAUUUAUCGUAAAAAAUUGUAUAAGUGUUUCAUUCUUUUUUUAGUCAUCUAUUAUUUGAAAAUUGUAUAAGUGAUUGUUAUUCUUAGAAUAAUUCUUUUUAUAUUAUAUUAGUUACAGCAGGCACGAUCAAAGGACUUGAUUGCUUAAGGUCGCACGAACGAUCCACCAAACGAAGAGGUUGAUCACAGCCAGACUGACAUCUACCUCAACAUGUCUGAUGAUGACAAUGAGGAGCAACCAAUUGCCGAGGGAGGCAAUGAUGGGCAACAAGACGAGGUAUAGCAAUUCUUAUAUGUAAACAUGAUUUAAAUUCUCUACUUAUCAAGAUUAUUGGGAAUUAAUAUUUGUUUCAUUUUUCAGCCAUCUGGAUCGAGCAAGCCUAAAUGGAAACGAGGGCCAAAGAAGAAGUUAGAGGAUCGUAUCAUCAACACGGAACUUAAUGAAGAGGGUGAACCAACUGCUCCAGACAAUGCUAAGACCAAAUUGGUGAUCAAAUUGGAUUUCUUGUUAGGGAUAACAUCUCAAUAAGCUUUCAGAAUUGAAAAAGCCCUGAAAUCGAUGAGAGCAUGGUCCCCACAAGCACGGUCCCCAUAAGCACAGUCCUUGAGCGAGAGAAGGAAAUGAUAUGGGAGCAGAUAAAAGAAAACUUCACGUUCGAAGGUGAGAUGAAGAAAAAGUGAAAGAUUGGGGCUUUAAGAAGGGUGCAAUUGCUUUUCAGACAUACAAGAAGAACGUGAACAAAGACUACAUAAAGGGGGCCUUACACCAGAUUUCACGAAGCACCCGAAGUUAAGAGAUCACUGGGAUUCAUUUGUGAAAUUCAAGCAGUCAAAAAAAAGCGCUAAGGCAACUAAAACCAACACCAACAAUGCUCGUUAGAAGAAAUACUUUCAUCGUCUUGGGCCUGGAGGUUACAAGAAGGGGAUCAUCAAAUGGCAGAGGAUGGGAGAUGACAUAAUUGCUAAGGGUAUAGUACCGGUGACCUCAAAUGGUCGGAAGCAAAGCAUUAGUAUCAUGCUCAUGGCAGCACGCUCAAUCCUGAAGAUGGACCAUUUGUGUUCGACCAAGAAUUAAGAGAAGUGGCUAUGAGACUUGUUGAGUUAAUAAAGGCUACAACAGAAGGAUCUUUCGUGCCUGAUCGAGAGAAGGACGAGCUGACUCUGGCACUAGGUAAUCCAGAAUAGCCUGGACGUUGCCAAGGCAAAGGUGUAAAUCCAUGGAAGUUUGCCUUUCGUGAGCACAUUGAUUCCUACAGAAGUUGCCAACAAAGUAAGGCUGAAAACGCACGACAGUUGCGAGAGUUGUAAGAACACGUAGCUUUGACAGAGGUAAGAAUGGAGGAAGUAAUUGACCGGCGUGUGGCUGUAGCUCUUAGCAAACAUGCCAGUGAACAAGUAGCUGCAUCAUUAGGGGCUAAUGUCGAUGUAAGCCCCUCUCAGCAUCGAAGCAACAUCGCUUCCAUGGAAGCCCCAGCUGGAGGAUCUUCUGACAUGGUUGAGGAUAACCAACGCCACCCCAUGGAUGACAUCACUGGGAGGGCCUCUUGUGAGCUUGUUAUUCCUGUGAAAAACAAGCUCAUCGUGGUGGCUUAUGGUGUAACUGAAAAACUGACACAAGGCUAAAUAAUUCAUAGCGUGGAGAUUCUAGCUCGUGGUUACGCCAAAGUUGGGGUGGACCAAGUGGUCGAUGGUUGGGAUGACCUAAAACUGGAGGUACCUGGAGGUGACGGGGAAAAGAAUCUAGGAGAAGCCAUCCAUGGUUAAAUUCUAUGGCCCAAGUGCUACAUAAGGAUUCUACAACCAAAUCCCCCGACCUUGGGAUCAUCUCCUCAGGGCUCAAGGGAAAGAUCACCUACGCCAUCUGCCAGGGCACCCUCUCCACUAGCUGACAGGGAUCCUAGCAUGAGUCCAGUAACUGAUAGGGAUUCUAGCAUGAGUCUACGCUCUCCACCAGCUGACAGGGAUCCUAGCAUGAGUGCACCUUCCCCUGUCAUGCAAGGCUACAUGGCAAAAGAUGCCCUUAGUUCCGCCUACAAAGAAGAAGCAGAAGAAGUAGAAGGAGAAGCAACUAGAGCUAAAGAAAGCUUACGAUAAGACUGAUGUGGAAAUCGACGCACUAAUGGAUGCUGAGGUUAAAGCUCACUACGCAAAAGCCUCCUAUGAAGAAAGAUCCACCACUUGAUAAGGUUAAAUUUAGGGCUUUCAUUAGAGGCAUAGAGUUGGAGGAAAAGCAAAAGUCAGAGAAACCACCGCUAUCUGACUAUGACCGCACAAUAAUGAAGGCUUUUCAGAAGAAUAAGAAAAGUGGCUUAAGUAUUCCACAGCUCGCAACCCAAUCCAACCAAUCGAUUGCCCUGCUCCAGGUGCUUUCGGAGUUUAAUAAGAAUUUGCUUUGAUUCACCAAUGAUACAAAUCUCACCAUAGCUCAACUUCAAGGAGAGGAUCACAUCCCAAAGCAAGCUGGGGCCGGUAAAUGGAAAUUUGAGUUAGGGAAAGAGCUUGUGUGGCCGUAGUUGGUGGACCAUCUUCCAACGAAGAUGUACAAAUUUCACCAAUGGUACAUGGAGGCUUCAGCCACCGGUUUACUCAUGAUAGAAGUUCGGAUUGGAGAUCAACAUUAUUUCCGUGGUGAUGCCAUUAUAAAUGUGUCGCUCCAGGAACUUUAUUUUCUUUACAAUUAAGACGCACUUGACAAAUCACUCAUCAGUUCUAUAUCAUGGACUCUCUGAGGAGACCAAGAAAUCAAUACACCGACCUCAUAGACAUGCUUAACAGAGCAUGGGCUCACUUCCAUCAACAUCACUCAUGUGAAUUCAAGGAGCAACUUCAUAUCCACUCUGAAUUCCCGGUAUGUAUUAAAUUUGCACAUCUCGUGUCACUUCCUAGACCACAACAAAUAUUUCAUAACUUCUUUUGCCAUAUAUAUAAUGUUUGAGAUAGAAUCUGGAGGAAUAAUUUAUGCAAUACUACGUAUCUAAGUUCAUCCAUAGCUUUGUAGGUCCCUAGCGUAUAACUGACCAUGAAUUCAUAGUACAUAUACAAAUUUCUUAACAAUAAAUUAGUUCUAAUUGUGCAGAUCCAUUGAUCUAAUAUAAUAACCUUUGCUAAUGACACAUAUUAUGAACAUGAAGGAAGAACUCGAGAUGGAAAAAAAUCAGGGCAAUUCAAGAACAACUCAGUGGAUUUUUUCUGAACGAGAUAUUAAAUCUAGCGGGAGAGUUCCAUAAUGAUGGAUCAAAUCUGUAUCACCAUCAGGACUCAGGUUCAGAAUAGUUGAUCCAAAAUGUUGAACUUGGAGAAUUGAUGCAAUGUAAUAUUAUUCAUAUAUGAGUAUGCACAAUAUGUCUAUGUAUAAUAUUAUCUCAAAUGUAAUAAUAUAGAUUAAAUACAACUUUAUAUAUAUUCUAUAUUAGAACUAGUAUACAUAAAGGAAACAAAUACGAAAUACUAAUAUAGAAUAAAGAAAUAGAAAAGAAAAGGGAAUUUAGUCAGCCAAUUUAGUACUGGUUGGUCUCCCCAAGCAAUACCGGUUGCACAACCAGUACUAAAGGAGGUUUUGGACCCGAUACUGAAGGUGCUUCCCCAGCAGUGACCUGAAACACCUGUGCCUAAGUGCGUGUGCGCAGAGUCGCAGAACUAUCGCAGGUGGCUUCUUUACUAUACUAUAUGCUUUUGCAGUAGUGCUAGUGUUUUGUUAAAAGUCCGUGAAACGUUGCAGUAAGAAGCAAACAUCCAACUUUGUUCCGAGCCCAAAAUUGUUCGCACAUGUAGUAAGAAUCAUAAGUCCAGUUCCUAGACCCUAAGGAUGUCAAUACUACUGUAUUUACUCAGGUCUAAUGUGACCCAAGCUUAAACGCCACAUUGGUUUCAGCUUUCAACACGUUUAGGCAAGUCAAUUGGCCCCACUCCAAGAUGAACCCAUGAUCAAGUCACUUUUCCAGCAGCCUAAUUUGAGUCCGGCAGUCUCUAAAAUUUCAGCCGCCACUAGUAGAGAACUCACCUUGCAUACGCCCCAUUUUGUCCCAGUUUAAAGUUGGCCUGGGACAAAAGGGGGCGCGCCACGGUAGGGUGAAAUGGGGUGGAGCUUUAGUUCCGGUUGGUAUUUCCAACCGGGACUAAAGCCCCCCCUUGAGUCCCAGUUGUAAUGGCUAGUUCCCAGCCACCAACGGCACCCCCCUUUUGUCCCGGUUGGAGCAUCCAACCGGGACAAAAACACUAGCCUUUUGUCCCGGUUGGAGUUACCAACCCAGACAAAAUAUUUACUCCCGGUUGGUAAUUCCAACCGGGACAAAAGGGUUGCGCUUUUGUCCCGAUUGGUGGUUCCAACCGGGAGUAAACUUCAACCGGGAUAAAAGGUGUUCCUUUCUAUCCCGAUUGGAAUUUUAGACCAGGAUAAAAACUGAUGCCCCAUUAAAUCCCAAGACAGAGGUCUUUCUUCCUCCUCCAACCCGAGCCAGUCCACUCCACCGAGACAGAGAGCUUCACCUCCUCUCCAUGGCGUCGAAGAAAGCCUAGGGGAGGUGCUGCAAAAAAUUUUUUCCUCAUUUUCAUGGGGAUUUCACUCAUUCAAAGUGUUGUGAAGGUUAUCUACUUCAUCGUCUUGUUAUGCUUUGUUUUAUGCUUUAGAGAGGGAGAAAAAUGAGUUUGCUUGUUAGAAAGAGGGAGAAUGAAGAGGAUUUGUAUUUAUACAUGUUUUUGAGCUAGAAUGUGAUGGAUAGUUUGCUUGUUAUAUACGAUUUGUAUUAGUUAAAACAACUUGAUGUGUAGAAUGGAGAUGGAUAAUUUAUUUGCUAGAAUGUGAGGUAGAAAAUGGAGAGAAUUUUGAGCUAGAAUGUGAGGGAGAAUGGAGAGUAAAUGUGAGGUAGAAUGGAGAGGAUUUCAAUAUUAAUUAUGAGGAAAAAUUAGUAUGUCAUAUGUGUCAUAUAUAGUAUGUAUCCUUGCAGCGGUUUACGAAUGAUGCUACCCUUAUCUAGACGGUUUAUCUUGUCAAAUUCAAUAUGGUUUUUCAAAUCCGUACUUGUUGAACUUGCAUACUAUGUUCAUCUCGGCGAGCAUGUUCUCUGCUGAGUGGCAACGAACGUCAAGGAGGAGCUCGGAUUCUAUGAGGAAAAGUGGCAACGAACAUCAUGGAAGACCGUAUCCCCUUCCUCGUAGAAUUGGAGCUCUUCCAUGGCGAAGUACAGUCCCAUCCGGUGGAGAAAUGCUCGCCGAGAUGAUCAUGGUUUGCAAACUCAACAAGUUCUACAAUGCUAAGGUAUGAAUUUUUGUACAUAGAGAUGGCUUCUGCUACUGGAGGUAGUGACGAUGGUGGGGGUGAUCGUCGUUCCGCUCGUGGCAAGGGGAAAACCAUAGUUGGCCCUCAUGAUAAGCUGAAGAAAAUGAGCACGUGGGAGAAAGCAAUGCUUCAUUAUUUGCAAAGAUGUUAUGAAGAUGCUGUUGCGGCGGGUCAGGAACAUCCUUUUGGUGGUCGUUAUGCUCCACCGCUAGUCCCGGGUGUUUCACGUUCACUUAGUACUAUCGUUGCAGGAGGCACAAAUAAACCACAGGAUGAGGCUGGGUCAGAGGAACCUUCAUCUUCACCACCCAAGAAUGCUUAAAGUCCUCCUAGAUAGUAAUCAGUGGAUGGUUUGUUGUAGUGUAUCUUAUUGUUUGCAUCUGAAAUUUAAAUAUGUGUAUUUCUAUCUAUAUCUAAGCUUUCAGCACCAUUUGCACUACAAAGUUUGACAUGCUUUCAAUCAUGAAUAGCAUGUAGAUAAGUCGUAAAGCAUAUCAAAUAACCAUCAAUAGGCACGUAAAGAUGAAUUUUGAUGCAAAAUGGAAAUGACACACUUAUUCACAACAAGAGAACCUAAUAUUUGUAAUCAUUGAGGGAUGAAGAAAUAAUAUAUUUGAAUUUGUAAAAAAAACUAUCAUAUAAUCUAAUAUUUAUUACGUUGGCAAGAUAUUAGAGACCUGCAUGCCAAAAAUCAUAUUAAAAUUAAUUGUGUACAACAGAAAUAAAAAAAGGAAAAAAUGAGUAAUCCAUUUUCAUGCGUAAUCCAUUUUCAUGCAUAAUACGAUGCAGAUGGACCGGCAAUGCAUGUAUAAUGCGGACAGAUGGAGCAAGGAGUUUAUUGAUGGCUUGCAUUAUUUUCUCAAAGUGGCCAAAGCGAACAAGCCAGAGAACGGGUUCAUAUGUUGUCCAUACUUCCAAUGCAGUAACAAGAAGGACUAUUCACAGGCUUCCUAGGGUUCACAGCUAUUUGUUUAGAUACGGUUUCAUGCCUAACUAUUUGGUUUAGACCAAGCACGACGAAAGAGGAGUUGUAAUGGAAGACGGCAAAGAGCAAGAGGGGGAUGACAACAUUCCGGACUGGGCUGCAGGCCAAGCUUUUGCAGAUACUACAAUGGGCGAGGCUGAUGAAGAUCAGUUUGUAGAAGAUGACCCAACUGAUGACCUUGGUCAGGUGCUAUGGGAUGCACACAGAGAUUGCGAAACUGAGAAGAAAGCAGCCAAGUUGCAGCGCGUGAUAAAUGAUCACAAAAAAUUAUUAUACCCAAAUUGCCAGUAGGGCCAUAAAAAAUUGCGUACUACACUAGAAUUUAUGCAAUGGAAGGCCAAAAUUGGUGUGUCCGAUAAGGCAUUUCAGAGGAUAUUGAAAAUUGUCAAGAAGAUUCUUCCCAAGAAUAAUGAAUUGUCGUCAAGAACAAAUGAAGCUAAAUAGAUUGUUUGCCCUCUGGGAUUGGAGGUUUAGAAGAUACACGCAUGCCCUAAUAACUGUAUCUCUAUCGUGGUGCUGAAUACGAGAAAUUGGAUGCUUGUCCCAUGUGCGAAGCGCUGCGGUAUAAGAUCUGGCGAGAUGAUCCUGGUGAUGUCGAGGGGCAGCCUCCCAAGAAGAGAGUUCCCGCAAAGGUGAUGUGGUAUUUCCCUAUAAUACCACGCUUGUUCAGGAAUAAGGCGAAUGCUAAGUUGAUGCGAUGGCGCAAAGAAGAUCGUAAACAAGAUGAGAUGCUGAGACACCCUGUUGAUGGGGCCUAGUGGAGAUCAAUUGAUAGAACAUUCCCAGAUUGAAAGUGAUGCAAGGAACAUAAGGUUUGGUUUAAGUACUGAUAGAUUCAAUUCAUUUGGUGAGUUGAGUAGUGGUCAUAGUAAUUGGCCUGUGACCUUAUGUAUGUUCAACCUUCCUCCUUGGCUAUGCAUGAAGCGGAAGUUCAUUAUGAUGCCGACGCUUAUCCAAGGCCCAAAACAACCCGGCAAUGACAUUGACUUGUACCUAAGACCGUUGGUUGAUGAACUUUUACAGCUCUGGAAGGAAGAAGCUGUACGUGUGUGGGAUGAGGAUAAACAAGAGAUCUUUAACAUACGAGCAUUAUUGUAUGUAACCAUCAAUGAUUGGCCUGCACUGAGUAACCUUUUGGGAUAGACAAACAAGGGAUAUCGGGCCUGCACCUACUGUUUAGACGACACAGACAGCAUGUGUUUGAAGCACUAUAAGAAGAUCAUCUAUAUGGGUCAUCGUCGAUUUCUCCCUGCUCACCACCAGCUGAUAAAGAGCGGGAUGCAUUUCCAAGGGUCGCCAGACGAUCGUAAAAACCUGCACACCGUAAUGGAAAGCGUGUCUUUGAGAUGAUAAAGGAUGUAAGGGUAGUCUUUGGAAAGGAUUUUGGUAGCCAACCUGUUACGAACGAUGAUAAUGGAUGUGCACCCAUGUGGAAGAAGAAGUCAAUAUUUUGGGAGCUACCUUAUUGGGAAAUCCUAGAGGUCCGCAAUGCAACAGACGUGAUGCAUCUGACGAAGAAUCUUUGCGUGAACGUGCUAGGCUUCAUGGGUGUUUAUGGGACCUCAAAAGAUACAUUGGAAGCAUGAUAGGACCUAAAAGCCAUGGGGCAACGAGAUGACCUACAUCCGGAAAAGAAAGAUAACGGACAACACUACUUACAUCCUACUAGUUACACUCUCAGUAAGGAAGAGAAGGAUAGCAUGUUUGAAUACUUGAAUAGUAUGAAGCUCCCGCCUGGGUACUCCUCGAAUAUAAAGGGAAUAAUAAAUAUGAAAGAAAAGAAAUUCACAAAUCUCAAGGCCCAUGACUGCCACAUUUUGAUGACCCAGUUGCUUCCAGUUGCACUAAGGGGUGUUCUACCAGAGAAUGUUCGAUUGCCGCUCAUAAAGCUAUACGCGUUUGUCAAUGCGAUUUCGCAGAAGGCAAUCGACCCAACCAAACUAGCAAAGCUAUAGAACGAUGUGGUGCAAUAUCUUGUCAACUUUGAGUUGGUAUUUCCACCAUCCUUCUUCAAUAUUAUGACGCACCUCCUGGUUCACCUAGUAAAAGAGAUUGGUAUUCUUGUACCAUUAUACCUGCACAAUAUGUGGCCUUUUCGAGAGGUUCAUGUCUGUCCUAAAAAACUAUGUUCUUAAUCGUGCCCAUCCAGAAGGAAGCAUCACCAAGGGAUAUGGAACAGAGGGGGUGAUCGAGUUUUGUGUUGAUUUUAUUGACUCAACUGACUCGAUUGGGGUUCCAACUUCACACCAUGAGGGGAGGCUGUCGGGAAUGGGCACUCUUGGAAGGAAAUCAAUUUUGAGCAAUGAUACUGAUUUGUUCGAUAAGGCACACUACACUAUUCUGCAACAGUCAUCCUUUGUGGCUCCGUAUAUCGAGCAGCACAGUCAGAUGCUAGUAUCCAAAAACCCGACGAAAUCCGAUGCCUGACUUACACAUCGUCACAUGGAAACUUUUCCCUCCUGGCUGCGCCAACAACUUAUGGGUAACUCUGAGAUUCACCCACAGCUCGCUUGGUUAGCCACGGGACUUGCUAGCACAAUCGUGAAAUUCCAAGGCUACGAGAUAAAUGGUUAUACAUUUUACACGAGAGCCUAGGACCAGAAAAGCAUGAACCAGAAUAGUGGUGUCUGCAUAGAUGCUAUAGACAAAAACAGUAGCAAGGAGUCGUAUUAUGGUUUCAUGGAGGAGAUAUGAGAACUCGAAUACAGAUCGCUGUACAUCCCUCUAUUUCAUUGCAAAUGGGUGAAGCUAACUGGCGUAACCAAAGAUCAGUACGGAAUGACAAUAGUGGACCUGAGCAAGACUGGAUACAGUGAUGAACCAUUCGUACUUGCUAAUGAUGUGCAUUAGGUUUUCUAUGUGAAGGACAUGUCUAGCAAACCCAAGAGAAAUCCAGAACAGCCAUGGGAGCCAAAGCGCCACAUAGUUCUUUCAGGUAAAAGAAAGAUCGUGGGAGUCGAGGACAAAAUAGACCAAUCAUAUGAUUAUGAUUAAUUUGAUGGCAUGCCUCCAUUCACUGUUGAAGUUGACCCAAGCAUCUUGCUAUCCAAAGAAGAGGCUCCGUAAUUACGCUGCGAUCAUGAUCAAGGAACUUUCGUGAAGAAGAAGUUUUUUAACGUUACAUUGUAAUGCGCUAAAUUUGCUUCACCUUUAUGUAAAGUUCUAUGAUUUCAUAUACUACUUGAUACAAUUUUUAAUUUAACAUAUGUUUGAUUUCAUGUGUGUUUAAAUUAGUUGAGGUUAAGGUUUAUUCGAUCAAUAUGAACAAUGUUAACCACAUACAUAAAUUGAUUUUUUUGCGUGUUGAAAUUGUUUAAUUGAAUAAUUUCUUGAUGAUAGUGAUGCAGUAAAAUAAUUAUUUUAGAAGCUAAAAGAACUGGUAUAGAAUUAAUGACUCAUUCAAACUUAUUUUAAAUACACUUGCUAAUUUAAUAUAUUUUUGCUUGUUUAAAAUAUGUAAAGUUUUUAUUUUUUGCAUCCUAAAAUCUAGUGAAAACAUAAAUAAAAUCCAUUUCCAAAAAAUAGGCGGGAGACGAAAAAUGGGAAAAGGCCCUUUUGUCCUGGGUGCCAAUAGCAACAAGGACAAAAGCUCCCCCAUAUCCCGGUUGCAAACUCGAACCGGGAUAAAAGGGUAUUUUUUUAUUCCCACCUUCGAUUCCCGCCCGAAAUGUACCCUUUUAUCCCGGUUUCAAUUUGCAACGAGGAUAAAAGGGCAAGCUUUUGUCCUGGUUGCUAUUCGCACUUGGGACAAAAUCCCCCUUUAGUUUCGGGUUUAAUUACAAACCGGGAUAAAAGGGGGCAUAAAAGUAACAGUCAUCUUCUACCCCCCACCCUUCAACACUUCAGCAAAAUUUUCACCGCCACCAAGAUCCACGCCCGUCCGGCUUCUCCGUUGCUAGUCACCGUUCUCCUCGUCGCCCACCGCCCCGGCCGCCGUCGCCCGCUGCCCCAGGAGCCGUCACUCGCUGCCCUGGCCGCCUCGCUCGUGCUCGUACCGCCGCCUCCUCCGUUGCGUCCCCUCAUCGCCGCCGCCUCAAUCGCGCCGCCUUGUCGCUGCGUCCAUCCUCGUUGCCACCUCCAUCCCUGUCGUUGCCGCCGGCCUCCGCCCUCGUCACUACCUCCGUCCCCGUCAUCACUGUCGGCCUCCGCCCUCAUCUCUGCUGCCUCCAUCCCCACCACCACCGGCCUCCUCUGCCCCGACCUCCUCGUCCCACGCAUUACUACUCCGCCGCCCUAGCCGCCGUACAGCCCCCUCCCCCCGUCGCCACCGUAACCACCACCGGCCCUGGCUCCCGCACGUACGGUAGAACAUCAAUAGAAAUUUGUAGAAAAUCAGUAGAUUAGUAAAAGAUCAAUAGGAAAUUACUAUUAUUAGUUGAAACUCAAUAGGAAAUUACUAUGAUUAGUAGGAAAUCAAUAUAAUUUAGUUCAGUUGCAUAGUAUAAUUUUGUAUAUAUUUUGUAUAACUUUUAGAAAUUACUAUGCUAUUAGAAAUGAUUCAAAAAUUAGUAGAAAUUUGUAGAAAUUUGGUAGAAAUUCUUACAAGUUACUAGAAAUUUGUAGAAAUUUGGUAGAAACACUUAGAAAUUAGAAGAAAUUUGGUAGAAAUUCUUAAAAUUAGUAGGAAUGAGUAGAAAUUUUCUAGAAAUUCCAAUAAAUUAGUAGAAAUUUGUAUAAACACUUCAAAUUUUGUAGAAAUUCUUAGAAAUUAGUAGAAAUUUGUAUAAACACUACAAAUUUGGUAGAAUUUAGUUGGAAUUAGUAGAAAUUUGUAGAAACACUUCAAAUUUGGUAGGAUUCAUUCGAGACUUUCAUGUAUUGUUUCAUGUUGUUCUAUGAUUUCAUGUAUAUACCUUAACGUACAUAUAACUAUGAUUUCAUGUAACACAUUAAAGACAUUUCAUGUAAUUAAGUUUCAUUCAAGGCAUUCUUGUGUAUUUCUUAUAAAUUUUCAUGUAAGUUUCAUUUCAUGUAUAGUUUCAUGUGUACAUUUCAAUCAGUUUGUUGUUUUUCAUGGUUGUUCUAUGAUUUCAUGAAAAUACCUUAAUGUACAUGUAACUAUGAUUUCAUGUGUGUUUAAGAUCAAUUCUAGCAGACCCUCUAAACAGAGUCCCUAAUUCUAAUAAGGAGGUUAUGUAAAAAAAAAUGAAGUCCAGCAGGACCCUUAUUAGAGCCCCCAUUUUGGGAAGACCUCCAAAUUCCCUCCCACACCCCCUGGCCUGGAGGGUGCCUCCGCAACCCCCAUCCACGGUUAUUUUGGCAGCACAGACGUUUCGCGCACUUCUUUUCCUCUGCGGACCUUUUCCUACUCCGCCGCCGCCGCCUCCACCUCCCGCACACACACACACCGGUGCCCAUCGUCCUCCCCCACUACUGCCCGGUCGUGCGUGGACAUGGAUCCACAGCGUCCUUGCCUCACGGUGCGCUCUCUCCUCUCCUCCAUCUAGAUGCCGUCCCUGCGUCUCCUCGUCAGCGACGCCCCUCAAGCAGGUGUCUUGAUCUGUUGCCUCCCUCCCCAAGCUUACUUCUCCAGCAAGAUCAGCAACUACAGCGAGAAGAGAAGGUCAGGUACCUAUUGGUCCUUCGACUCUGUCCUCUUGUCCUUAAUUUCGAUUGCCUUGAACCUACCUCAGUUUAAGACAUUCAGGGCUCUGUGCUGGGUCGUGUAGGUUCAGGUUUCUGUUGGAGUAGUUGGGGGAGCAAGAACUGUGCCCAGCUAUUAUUCUGGACAAAGUUCUGUAUUCAAGAAUCAAUCUGUUGACUAGUAGAGUGAUCUAGGUUAACCAAUGGAGUAGUAGAUGCAUGGGUAUAAAUCCUUGUUUGUUGCUACUGAAACUGUUAACGAUGCAAAUGUACUUCCGUAAAGAACAGAAGUGAUUGUAUAUAGGCCAGUUCUGAACUUGCACAUACUUGUCAUGACAACAAAGACAUGAUAUGUUUGUGAUUCCUAGUUAUUUUCAACCAAGUUUGCAUAUAUAUGUUAUGUUUCUCCAUCAGAGGUUAAUAUCAUUCCAUUUUACUGAUUGAUUGUGAUAUAUUAACAAUCUGCUUCUAUGAUCUAUUUCAUUGUUUUCUUGUUGAUCUAAGUGGACUCUUAGGAGGAGGAAGUUAGGAGAACCAGUUGAUUCCUAGGAAAUUAAGUGUUAUAAGCUCUAAAACAGAACCAGUUGGUUCCUAUGAAAUUAAGUGUUAUAAGCAUAUGUCAGGAGAGAUUUACUGCAGCACAUGAUAGUUAUUCAGUAUUGUAUGAUUGUGCACUUUAAAAUAUUUGGCAUUAAUACAGUACUACAGUACAGUUCACCACUUCACGUUACAUUAUAUUGAACUUUCUUAGCUGAUGAACUGUGACUACCAGCAUGCCAAUCAAGUUCUGCAUAAUUAGUCAGCUUUUCCUUCCUAUUUCAGAGCUUGUUCUGUUCUUUUGCAGACUUAUAUUCUUCCUUUGACCCAUCAGAUUGCACACAUCAGUUGUUAGAUCAGUUGUACCAUUCAUGAUUACGAUUCCUAGAGAUUAGACCAAAUGCAUGUUCAAGCCUACACUAAUUUGUUAUGGUAGAAAUAUAUAAUGAUGAAACUUGUAUUGAAGGACUUUCAUCGUUUAUGAUUCAUAGAGUGCUUAGUGAACAUUUCCUGUAGUUGUGGGCAUGUAUAUCUUGAACAAUAAACAUGACUACAUGACAAAUAAUAGGAAAGCUUUAUUUUUUAGAUGAAUAGCAAUUUUCUUAUUUGAACAUGACAAUUUUUUUAUUUGAACCUGUUUUCUUAUUGGAACAUGACAAUUUUGCAAUAUUGUAGAUGGUCUUCUCCGAUGAUGAUGACCUCAUUGUUAUUCUUAUGCUUGCCGACAUGGACUAUGAGAGACACAAGAAGAAGCAUCGUGGUUCAGUCCCGGGACGUGAGGUAGUUUUGAGGGACAUGUCUAGUGGCAAUCUGGGCAUUGUAGCUGAUUAUUUUGCAGAUCCUCCAAUAUACAAUGCAACAUUCUUCAGGAAGAGGUUCAGAUUGUCAAGAGAAAUCUUCUUGCAUAUUGUGGAUGGUGUGGAGGCACAUGAUGACUACUUUAGGCAAAAAUUAAAUGCAACAGGUCUUCUCGGUGCCACGGCAUUGCAAAAGGUGUUUGGGUCAUUUUGCAUGAUGGCAUAUGAUGUUCCAGCUGAUUCAAUGGAUGAAGUUGUGAGGCUUGCUGAGAGCACCAUGGUAGAGGCUUUUCACCACUUUGUGCAGGUUGUGGUUGAGGUGUUUGGGGAGCAAUACUUGAGGCCACCUACUAUUGAGGACACUGCAAGAUUGUUGGCCAUUAACACUAAGAGGGAAUGGCCUGGCAUGCUCGGUUGCAUCGAUUGUAUGCAUUGGAGGUGGAAGAAUUGCCCAACAGCUUGGAAAAGGCAGUAUUCAGGGCAUGUGGAUGGGCCAACUAUGAUACUUGAAGCUGUUGCAUCUAAGAAUUUGUGGAUUUGGCAUUGUUUCUUUAGUCUACCGGGCUCUUUAAAUGAUAUCAAUGUCUUGCAAAGAUCACCAUUAUUUCAAAGGCUAACUUCAGGGACUGUACCACCUAUUGAGUAUAUGCUCAAUGGUAACAAGUAUACCAUGGGAUACUAUCUACCCUUCUUGGGUGAAUUUUGUGAAGAGCUAUAGGAGUACACAAGGCAAUAAGAAAGUCCAUUUCACAAAAGAACAAGAAGCGGUGAGGAAGGAUGUGGAGAGAGCAUUUGGUGUUCUACAAGCACGCUUUGCCAUGGUGAGGGGGCCUGCUAGAUUUUGAGAUAAGGACACUCUAUUGUAUAUAAUGACCACUGUUGUUAUCAUGCAUAACAUGAUCAUUGAAAAUGAGAGAGAUGAAAAAGAGUAUUACGACUAUGAUCAAGAUGGUGGUGAGGUACUGAGGCCGGAGGAGUACCAACGACGUGAUCCCCUCAUUCUUGAGGAGUUCCUCAAGAUACAUCAGAAGAUUGAGGAUAGACGUGUGCAUGAGAGACUUCAUGAUGAUCUUGAAGGGAUACGAGGUAGGCUACGCUAGCGCAAAUCAAAAUUUCUACCGCGUAUAACCAGGAAGAACUGCCGUAUAAGGAUCACGGGAUUACCACUCGACGCACUACUGGUGCGGAAGAUGUAGAUAUGCGUCGGUGCAGUGAAGACGAUCACGUAGUCGUACGUAGUCGAUCAACGUAGUCGUACGUAGUCGAUCACGUCCAGCAGCUCCUCAGCAGCUCGUCCACGUGCACAGCAAGAUCGCCUCCGGUGCCGCGGCUCGUCGUCAGCUCGUCGUGGCUCGUCGGCGGCUCGUCGAUGGCUCGUCCAAGUGCUGCAGGUGCAACACCUCCAAGGUAUCCACACGUGCAGGGAGGAAGCGUCGCAAGCCGGAUUGCUAGAUCCGCGAGUUGCAACAGGCGAGGGCGUGGGAGGCGCGGCAAGAGUGUUCAGCCAAAAGGUGUAAACCCUAGGGCGCCCCCACCCCUCUAUUUAUAGGGGUUCCUGAUGGGCCUCUGGAUCCGAGGCCCAUUAGUACUCCUAAACCUAAUCCAACUCGGAUCAAAUCCGAAUUGGGCUUCCAGCCCCUUAAGUGUGCGACCCUUUGGGUUCGGAUACGUAUAGACAUGGCCCGAGUACUCCUACUCGGCCCAAUAGUCGGUAGCGGCCUCUAGCAAGACGUGCCAACUCCUAUACGUACACGAAGAUCAUAUCAGACGAACCAUCACAACAUAAUAUACAUGCUAUUCCCUUUGCCUCACGAUAUUUGGUCUAGCUUCAAGCCGACCGCUCUUUCUCGAUCCUGUGAUUCGGAAUCCCUUUGUAGGUUAACUCUUAACCGUACGUAGCAUGGCCAUGCAUUUUUCGGAUCCGAUCACUCGAGGGGCCCAGAGAUAUCACUCUCAAUCAGAGAGGGGCAAAUCCCAUCUUGAUUGACCAUGUUUCAUAGCAUGCUUCUUGACAAACCCGAAAGCUACCUUUAUAACUACCCUGUUACGGCGUAGCGUUUGAUAGCCCCUAAGUAGGUCAAUCCACAUCUAGAAUACAUGCGACAAUCUCAGGUCUAAGGACAAAGCGUAUAUGUUGUUUAAAGAGAGAACUACUUCUCAUGUUGGGUCAGUCCUAACACAUGUCUCCACAUGUGUCCACAUUAUUAGUUCAACAUCUCCAUGUCCAUGACUUGUGAAACAUAGUCAUCAACUAAUACAUGUGCUAGUCUAAUAUUCAUGUGUGUCCUCACAUGAACUCCGACUAGGGACAACUUUAGAAUAACCAUACAAGUAAAGAGUUUCACAUACAAUUCACAUAAUUGCAAAUCAAUUCAAGUAGCCUUUAAUGGAUAUUCAAUGAACACAGUAUACAAAUCAUGGAUACAAAUGGAAUAUCAUCAUCUCUAUGAUUGCCUCUAGGGCAUACCUCCAACAGUCUCCCACUUGCACUAGAGUCAAUCUAGAAGGUACCUAAUACCCAUAGCUCUUACAUGCGCAUCAUGCUUAGCCUGUGGGAGUGGUUUUGUCAACGGAUCAGAAAUGUUCAGAUCCGUGUGUAUUUUGCAUAUCUUGAUCUCACCCCGGUUAACGAAGUCUCGAAUGAGAUGAAAUCGCCGCAUUACGUGUUUGUUCUUCUGGUGGUUCCUUGGCUCCUUUGCUUGCGCAAUUGCCCCAUUAUUAUCACAGUAGAGAUUCAAUGGGCUGGACGCAUUCGGGAACACACCAAGCUCAAUGAGGAAAUUCCUUAUCCAAACACCUUCCUUCGCGGCUUCCGAAGCCGCGAUGUACUCGGCUUCUGUCGUAGAAUCGGCCACCGUCUCCUGCUUGGAACUCUUCCAACUAACAGCACCACCAUUCAGUGUGAACACAAAUCCUGAUUGUGACUUUGAAUCAUCUCUGUCGGUUUGGAAACUAGCAUCGGUGUAACCUGUUACAACGAGCUCCUCCUGACCUCCAUAGACGAGGAACAUAUCUUUAGUCCUUCUCAAGUACUUAAGAAUGUUUUUCACCGCUGUCCAGUGACUCUCACCUGGAUCAGAUUGGUGUCUGCUUGUCAUACUUAGCGCAUAUGAAACAUCUGGGCGAGUACUUAUCAUUGCAUACAUGAUAGAUCCAAUAGCCGAGGCAUAUGGCACUCUACUCAUGCGAUCCCGCUCAUCAGCAGUCGAAGGACACUGAGUCUUGCUGAGAUGUAUGCCAUGUGACAUAGGCAAGAACCCUUUCUUUGCCUCUUCCAUGCUGAACCGCUUCAACACUUUGUCAAUGUAAGUAUCUUGGCUUAAACCUAUAAGCCUUCUCGAUCUAUCUCUAUAGAUCUUAAUACCCAGAAUAUAUGCCGCUUCCCCUAAGUCCUUCAUCGAAAAACUAUUUUUCAGUGAAGUCUUUACGGACUCAAGCAUAGGAAUGUUAUUUCCAAUCAGUAAUAUGUCAUCCACAUAUAAGAUUAGAAAUACUACAGAGCUCCCACUAACCUUCUUGUAAACACAAGACUCUUCUUCGUUCUUGGUGAAGUCAAACCCUUUGACCACUUCAUCAAAACGAAUGUUCCAACUCCUAGAUGCUUGCUUCAAUCCAUAAAUGGAUCUCUGAAGCUUGCAUACCUUUCCAGCAUUUUUCGGAUCGACAAAACCCUCGGGCUGUAUCAUAUACACGUCCUCAGCUAGGUUUCCAUUCAGGAAAGCUGUCUUGACAUCCAUCUGCCAUAUCUCAUAAUCGAAAUAUGCAGCUAUAGCUAGAAUAAUCCGAAUGGACUUAAGCAUCACUACCGGCGAGAAGGUCUCGUCGUAGUCAACUCCUUGAACUUGUCGAAAACCUUUUGCGACAAGUCGUGCUUUAUAGAUGUGAACAUUUCCAUCCAUGUCCUUUUUCUUCUUAUAGAUCCACUUGCACUCUAUGGCCUUAACACCAUCAGGCGGGUCAACCAAGUUCCAAACUUGAUUGUCUCCCAUGGACUCUAUUUCGGAUUGCAUGGCACUCUGCCAUUUUUCGGAGUCUGGGUCCAUCAUUGCUUCUGCAUAUGUCGCAGGCUCAUCAUUGUCCAACAAUAAUAUUUCCCGCAUUUCGCGGAGCCUUGCCGACCUUCGUGGUUGUGGCGGUGCUUCUCUUGCCAUGGGUAUCUCAACUUGUUCUGCUACGUUAGCAUCACUCAUUGGUUCUUGCCCGAUUGGCUCAUCUUGAACUUCUUCAAGAUGCACUGUCUUUCCACUCUUUUCUCCUUUGAGAAACUCUUUCUCUAGGAAAACCCCGUUCCGAGCGACAAACACUUUGCCUUCUGAUCGGUUGUAGAAAUAAUAUCCCAAAGUUUCCUUUGGAUAUCCCACGAAAAUGCACUUAUCCGACUUGGGUGUGAUCUUGUCCGACUGAAGUCGCUUGACAAACACUUCACAUCCCCAAAUCUUUAGAAAAGACAGACUAGGAACCUUUCCAGUCCAUAUCUCAUAUGGUGUCUUAACUACGGAUUUAGAUGGUACCCUAUUUAGUGUGAAAGCUGCUGUUUCUAGAGCGUAUCCCCAAAAUGACAACGGUAGGUCCGACUGGCUCAUCAUUGAUCGAACCAUGUCUAACAAAGUUCGAUUACGUCGCUCGGACACACCGUUUCUCUGAGGUGUUCCAGGCGGCGUAAGUUGUGGAACAAUUCCACAACUCUUUAGAUGAUUGCUAAACUCGUGGCUCAAAUACUCGCCUCCACGAUCAGAUCGUAAGGCCUUAAUUUUCUUGCCACGCUGAUUUUCAACUUCAUUCUGAAAUUCCUUGAACUUUUCAAAGGUUUCAGACUUGUGCCUCAUUAAGUAGACAUAGCCAUAUCUACUAAAAUCAUCAGUAAAAGUUAUGAAGUAUUGGAAUCCUCCUCUAGCCGUCGUGCUCAUUGGUCCGCAUACAUCACUAUGUACGAGUUCCAACAAGUCUACUGCUCUCUCAGGAAAUCCUGUGAAAGGUGUCUUGGUCAUCUUGCCUAGCAAGCAAGCCUCACAUGUCUCGUAUGAUUCAAAAUCAAACGAAGUUAGAAGUCCAUCAGAAUGGAGCUUCUUCAUGCGUUUUUCACUUAUAUGACCCAAACGACAAUGCCACAAGUAGGUAGGACUCAAAUCAUUAGGCCGAGGCCUUUUAGCACUUAUAUUACAGACAGGUGAACCAUCAAGAUUUAAAACAAAUAAUCCAUUCACAAUGGGUGCAAAAGCCAUAAACAUAUUAUUCUUAGAGAUCACACAACCAUUGUUUUCACUCGCAAAUGAAUAACCAUCCCUCAUCAAACAUGAAGGAGACAAAAUGUUUCGACUUAAACUAGGAACAAAAUAACAAUUAUUCAACUCCAUAAUAAAUCCUGACGGGAGGUGGAGUUGCAUCGUCCCGACGGUCAAAGCAGCAACUCUUGCAUUAUUGCCCACGCGGAAAUCAACUUCUCCUCUUUCCACGCUUCUACUUCUUAUCAUUCCCUGCAUCGAAUUGCAAAUAUGAGCAACCGAUCCGGUAUCAAAUACCCAAGAAUUAAUAACUGUAUCAGCGAGAAAUAUGUUGUCUAUAACAUUAACAACAAGCGUACCUGAGGUAGAAGUACUCUUACUUCCGCCGUUCUUCAACGAAGCUAGGUACUGCUUGCAGUUUCUCUUCCAGUGACCAAGUUCAUGACAGUAAAAGCACUCUUUAUCUGGAGCAGGUCCAGCUUUAGCCUUGGGCGCUGGGUUUGGCUUGGACACUCCAGCCUUACCCUUCUUCUUCCAAGAAUUGCCCUUCUUCUUGAAGGUAGGCUUGUUCUGUACAGCCAUCACAUGGCUGGUACUAGCGCUUUUCUUAAUGUCUACCUCUGCUGUCUUGAGCAUACCACACAGCUCAUUCAGACCCUUCUCCGUCCCAUGCAUAUGGUAGUUCGAGAUGAAGUUCCCAUAGCUAGGCGGAAGAGAUGAGAGAAUGAAGUCAGUGGCCAACUCUUUGCCCAUUGGGAAGCCCAGCUUCUCCAAUCGCUGAGUGUAACCAACCAUCUUGAUUACAUGUGGUCCUACUGCUGCGCCUUCUGCUAACUUGCACUCCAGAAAGGCUUUGGACACAUUGAACCUUUCGGUCCUAGCCUGUGUCUGGAACAUGUCCUUGAGCGCCACGAUCAUAUCGUAAGCCUCAUGAUUUGUUUCGAACUGCAUCUGCAGCUCGGGUUCCAUGCAAGCAAGCAUAAGGCAGCUUACCUCAAGAUUAGCAUCAAAUGUCUUCUUGUAAGCAGCCUUAACGGCAGCAGAUGCAUCAUCAGCAGGUACUGGUGGUAGUGGGGUGUCUAGAACAUCUUCCUUUUUCUCAGCCCUGAGAACAAUUCUCAGGUUACGGAUCCAAUCCGAGUAGUUUGUUCCAUUCAACUUGUCCUUCUCAAGGACCGAACGCAAAGCAAACGAUGCGGUGGUGUUGCUAGGUGCCAUUUAAUCUACAACAAAAGUAAUGCAAAAUACACUAAGACAAACGUAUCCAUGAUAGAGCAAAUUACAUUAAACUAUUUAAAUAGAAUCUACUCCCACUAAAAUCAAUAUCCCUCUAUUGAAACUUAGUGAUUCAGGAUCCACAACUAACAAGUCUACUAGUGAGCUUUAGCAUCACCGCUAGCAAACGAGGUAGAUCGGUAAGCAACUUUUGCUAAUCAUAUCACAUAUGACUCCUGUUGUUGGGUGACAUCUCUAUGUCUCGGCGCCCAACCUUUAUGCCCCAAGAUCCUUAACCGUUAAGAUGAUCUCGUUAAGCAAACCAACCCUUAUGCGUGUAAGUGUCCGACACAAACCCAUCUAGUCAAGGAAAACUAGUGGCACCCUAAUUUCAUAGACCCACCACUAAUUGUACAAGACAUGGGACGGUGCAAGUUUUAGUUGGGAGGGCAUACUAACUUAAAAUUUGCGAGGGAUCGUUCUACUUCUAACAUCACAGCAUGCAGAAAGUAAAACAUAAACAGAAUAGCAUUCACAUAGUUGUGACACAGUAUGGCCCGUUUUCAUAUGGUGAUCUCCAUCUCCAAAGAACCUGUUCACCAUGGUGAUCUCCAUCUCCAUGUUCCAUGUGCGCCAUCCUCCUGGUGAUGAGUCCUCCAAGAACUAGAGCAUGCUAUUACGCCUAAUAGCUAGUAAAGAAUCUAGUAAUGAAGAUUACAUAGUUGCUUGGAUCAUCACAGAUUGGUACGCAGACCAUUAAAUACAUUAAAGUGACAACACAUAUGGCUCCUGCCGUGUUGCCGUACGCGCGACACGCAGGUCACGAAUUAGUUACACACAUGCAUCACAUACACAAGGGGGCCAUACUGAUCACAAGAUACAAACAUACAUCCUGCAAAACAGAGUUAGGCGUCCUAACGUUCCAAACUUGGGAGGCCCGAAACUCCAUCUUCCAAGCCGAAUUUGGCAAAUCUAAUAUCGCCGAAAACGGCGAAGCCGUUGAAAUUCACGUGUAACUUUUUCUGUAGAUCAAUUUUCGUAUAGAAAUCGCCCCGAUCCGAGAUCGUACCGAAAAGUUACGGCUGAUUUACCGAAGCAUGCGCAUACGGCAAAAUCCCGACCCCGGCAGUAGAUCCCAUCUACCAUUGCACAUCUAAUGCGCCUGGCGUAUGACCCUGGAUCUCGAUUCGACCAAUCAUAUUGAUCUUCCCUCACUGCAACUGGAUUUACGUGUAUCACUUAACUCCGAUGGCGGAAACCGACCGGUAGGAGUAUGUCGUUACACUACCAUUGCAGCAAGGGCACGAAACCAGGACAUAGAUCAAACAGAAAACUCGCAUAUCUCCAUAUGCACACAUCCCGAAUCCAAAACUAAGCAGCUAAGGCUCUUGAUACCACUGAAGGGAUACGAGGUAGGCUACGCUAGCGCAAAUCAAAAUUUCUACCGCGUAUAACCAGGAAGAACUGCCGUAUAAGGAUCACGGGAUUACCACUCGACGCACUACUGGUGCGGAAGAUGUAGAUAUGCGUCGGUGCAGUGAAGACGAUCACGUAGUCGUACGUAGUCGAUCAACGUAGUCGUACGUAGUCGAUCACGUCCAGCAGCUCCUCAGCAGCUCGUCCACGUGCACAGCAAGAUCGCCUCCGGUGCCGCGGCUCGUCGUCAGCUCGUCGUGGCUCGUCGGCGGCUCGUCGAUGGCUCGUCCAAGUGCUGCAGGUGCAACACCUCCAAGGUAUCCACACGUGCAGGGAGGAAGCGUCGCAAGCCAGAUUGCUAGAUCCGCGAGUUGCAACAGGCGAGGGCGUGGGAGGCGCGGCAAGAGUGUUCAGCCAAAAGGUGUAAACCCUAGGGCGCCCCCACCCCUCUAUUUAUAGGGGUUCCUGAUGGGCCUCUGGAUCCGAGGCCCAUUAGUACUCCUAAACCUAAUCCAACUCGGAUCAAAUCCGAAUUGGGCUUCCAGCCCCUUAAGUGUGCGACCCUUUGGGUUCGGAUACGUAUAGACAUGGCCCGAGUACUCCUACUCGGCCCAAUAGUCGGUAGCGGCCUCUAGCAAGACGUGCCAACUCCUAUACGUACACGAAGAUCAUAUCAGACGAACCAUCACAACAUAAUAUACAUGCUAUUCCCUUUGCCUCACGAUAUUUGGUCUAGCUUCAAGCCGACCGCUCUUUCUCGAUCCUGUGAUUCGGAAUCCCUUUGUAGGUUAACUCUUAACCGUACGUAGCAUGGCCAUGCAUUUUUCGGAUCCGAUCACUCGAGGGGCCCAGAGAUAUCACUCUCAAUCAGAGAGGGGCAAAUCCCAUCUUGAUUGACCAUGUUUCAUAGCAUGCUUCUUGACAAACCCGAAAGCUACCUUUAUAACUACCCUGUUACGGCGUAGCGUUUGAUAGCCCCUAAGUAGGUCAAUCCACAUCUAGAAUACAUGCGACAAUCUCAGGUCUAAGGACAAAGCGUAUAUGUUGUUUAAAGAGAGAACUACUUCUCAUGUUGGGUCAGUCCUAACACAUGUCUCCACAUGUGUCCACAUUAUUAGUUCAACAUCUCCAUGUCCAUGACUUGUGAAACAUAGUCAUCAACUAAUACAUGUGCUAGUCUAAUAUUCAUGUGUGUCCUCACAUGAACUCCGACUAGGGACAACUUUAGAAUAACCAUACAAGUAAAGAGUUUCACAUACAAUUCACAUAAUUGCAAAUCAAUUCAAGUAGCCUUUAAUGGAUAUUCAAUGAACACAGUAUACAAAUCAUGGAUACAAAUGGAAUAUCAUCAUCUCUAUGAUUGCCUCUAGGGCAUACCUCCAACAGAUCUUGUGGAGCAUUUAUGGGCACUUCAUGGUUCUAGCUAGUAUGAUUAUUUGUACUUUGACCAUAUUUAAAUUUGAAUUUAAAUUGUCAUGUUUGAAAUUGUGAUUUUGAAUGUGGUUCAUUGCUAUGCUUUAGAAAUAUUUACAUUUGAAUUAUAGUGGUGUGAUAUGAAGGGCACAUAUGGAGAAGAUGUUGAAAAUAGGAGGAAAAAUAAAUAGGGGUUAAGAUUUAGAGGUCCUUGCUGGAGUUGAGUGUAGAAAAUGAGCCCCUAAAAAAUAGAGAGAGCCCCUACUUAGAAAGUAGGGGGCCUGAUUUAGGGACCAUUGUUGGAGUUGCUAUAAAGUAGUUGAGAUGGCAAAUGACGAGACCGCAAGGUAUCUAAUGGAGCGGAUUAUUGCUAGUGAUGCUAGUGGCUCCAACCUUCCCAUAACGUACACCGAUGAAGAGGGUAACCAGGCAGACAUGUUCCUCAACAUGUCUGGCUAUGGCAAUGAAGAGCCCGAGCCGUGGCAAAACCUUGCCAUGGCGGAAGUUUCCAGCGAGGUAUAUAUCAUUUCCAAUGUUCUGCCCUAUCUAUAAUGUCUUAUUCGUUAUUACUAUGUACUAAUUCAAGAAUCUUGAACUGUUAGCCCUCUGGAUCGAUGAACCGUUAGAAGCCCCGAAGUCGUACAAGGUUGAUGGAUGAAAGGCUUGUCAUCACGGAAGUCAUAGAAGAAGGCAGGCCGCUUGCUCCCGAAAAAGUAGCAACAAAGUACAUGAGUCAGAUCGGGGUAAUCGUAAGGGACAACGUGCCCAUCAACAUCAGGGAAUAAAAGGGCAAAAGUACUAAUCCAUACGCGCUCACGGAUACAGAAAAGAAUAUGCUGUGGGAAGAUGUCAAGAAACAUUUCACAUUUUCCAAAGGAUAUAUUCAAAAGGAUGUGAAAGUGUGGGCGCUGAAGAAGAUGGCCACACAAUUCCAGACAUUCAAGAAGAUGCUGGAUGCCAACUACAUUAAGAAGGGCCGAACCCCAGCUUUCGAUGUGUGGCCAAAGUUGAGGGACCACUGGGAGGCAUUUGUCAAAUACAAGAGGAGCGAAGAUAGUGUGAAUAAGGUCAAGACCAACGCUACAAAUGUUGGUCAGAAGGAGUACCAUCAUCAUCUAGGGUGAGGUGGUUACGGCACAACAAUUCCCAGAUAGAAGAAGAUGGAACAAGACCUGAUCGAUUAGGGUAUCGUACCAGCAACUAUUGAAUGGCCCGAUCAAUCAAAAAAUUAAUAUUACGUUCAUGGAGGCUUCCUGAGCCAAGAGGAUGGGACGCUGAUCUUCAAUGAGAUAAUACGUCACAAGGUUGAAAGGCUUAUCAAGAACAUUUAAGAUGCUAAGGCUGGGAGGUUGAAGGUGGACCGAGAGAAUGAUGAACUCACAUUGGCCCUCGGAAAUCCCGAGGACCCAGGACGUUGUCGAGGGUUCGGGGUCGUUCCAUGGAAGUUUGCUUUCUGAGGCGACAGCGCCUCAUACAGAAGCCGCAAGCGAAGAAAGGAACAGAUCGAGGAGAGCUGGUUGUGCAUGCUAGAAUCCAAAGUGCAUUCACAAGAAGUAAGAAUGCAGCAGGAAAUCAAUCGUCGAGUGGCCCAUGCAGUUGCGGAGUUGGCCCAAUCUGGAACACUGCCAGAUCCAAACUUUGCCAGCCCUUCUCAACGCCUCGGGAGCAACUGUGCUUCUACAGGGCUCCCAAAUCCGCGGACGCUAAGAUUACCCAUGGACGAGCAACGGUUCACUGUGGAUGCCAUCACGCAACGCACCUCAUGUGAGCUGCAUACACCAGUCGAUAACCUCACCAUUGAGGUAUACUUAUACAUAAUAUUUAUGCAAUCUUCUCAAUUGAUCUACGCCUCGGGAUAGGAGUUUAAUAACUUUGUUAUCUCUACUAUAUGUAUAGGUGGCGUACAAGAGUGCCUUACCUAUCCUGGCAGGGCACACAAGCCAUGGCAUGGAGAUUCCACCUGGCUACGCCAGCGUCGGCCUAGAGCAGCUCGCUGAUAGCCAAUAUGAAGGCCUAGAGCUCGACCUCCCGGGAGGUGAUGGGGAAAGGACACUAGCAGAUGCGCUCCAUGGGAUCAUUGUAUGGCGCAAAUGCUACAUCAUCAUCCCUAGCACGGAGGCAUCUCCUCAGAGCUCAAGACCGCUCCCCACAGAUCCCUAGCAGCGACCAUCUCGUCAAAGCUCAAGACCAUCAUCUCUAGCACAACCUGCUCCAGGAUCGUCAUCACCACCAGGACCAUCGCUUCCUGCUCGAUCAAGGUCUCCAUCUCCACCACAUCCUGGUGGUGGGAGUGACGAUGAUGACAACAAUACCCCUCCCCGAUCACUGUCACCAGGACUGAGAGCAGCCCCGAGCAAGGAACCUACAGCACCACUUAAGAUGUUGCGACCACCGCCUCCCAAGCCAAGACAGAGAAAGAAGAAACCAAAAGAGCCUGAAGUGACUCAUGAGGAACGCUAGGAGGCAAUGACUCAUGCGGAACGCUGGGCUGAAAUCCAAGCAGAGGCCAAGGAGUGGUUCAAGAAACAGGUCCAAGAAAAAAAGGAAGGAAGAUGGAGCCACCGCUAGUAGAUCGAAGAGAAUUAAUUUCUUUUUUAUUAGGAUGCAAGAAGAAGCUAAGAAGAUGAUACCACUACUAUAUCGAACUACAAACGGGCGUUAGUCAAGGCUGAUGAGAGGAAAAAAAGGAAAGGAAAGUCAUCUUCCAGUGGUGCUGUCCACGACCUCAGGCAUCUACCAGAAAAAUAUGCUAAAAAGAUAGCAGCAAUGCCCUUGGAUCAACAAGCACAAAUAUUGAAAUUCAUGGAAGAAAUAGGUAUGGGACUUGAUGAAUGUCUAGGGCAAGUUGAGCUGCCAGCUGCACCGCCAGUUGAACCAAGAUGGACCUUUGAGCUAGGCAAGCCUCUGGUAAGGCCUGAGUUGGUACGGAAUCUAUCAACAAAGAUGUACGAAUUCUAUCAAUGGUACAUGAUGUUGUCCGCCGACUCGAGGGAGAUGUUCAGCCUCAAGGUAAAACCGAUAGAUUUUUACGACGAAGGCGAGAAAGUUCUGUGGCUAGAAUUCAAGGAUAUAUAUGAAGUGUACCAUCAUGAUACCUUGGGCGUCUCUCUAAUCAGCGCCUGGGUUCUGUAAGUGUCCGUUUAUCUACAUAUAAAUUUUGGCUCAUAUCAUUAUUUUUUGUACGUCCGUCAUCAUACUAACUUCAUCUUCCAUUUUAUGUAGGAUACUAAUUCAGACGUGCCGACGAAAAGCGUAACUCCAUGUUGGCUUCAUGGAUCCAUCCGUAGUUAACCAAAAACAGAUACAGGAUGUGCCAGACAAAACCUUGGUGGAAGUAUACAAUUUCCUAAACAAACAAAAAUUCAAGUAUUUGAUACUACUUCCAUACAACUUCAAGUAAGUGUGUGUAUACCGUCUAUUUUCAUUUUCUUUUUCCUUACCUGAUUAACUUCAAGUUAGCUCUAAUAUAUAUGAACAUUUACGUACGCAACUUCUGGAUCCUUAUUAUAAUUGAGCGUGAAAGAAGCCACGUCACUAACUUCGAUUCGGUGAGGAAAGAUCCGGUGGAGUACCAAGACAUGUAAGACAUGCUAGACUUGUAAUAAUUCUGGACCUUUAUCUCUAUGCAAAAGUUCGUUCCUAAAUUUUCACCUAACACUAUAUCAUUCAUUAUUUUAAUCCGCAGCGCAUGGAGAUAAUUCAUCAGGACACACAAAGGUCCAUUCAAAGAAAAAUUUACAUGGAACACAGAUUUCCUGGUACGUAUGAAGUUUGCAUAUUUUAUACAUUCUAUAACGUGAAUAUUUCAUAACUUGUUCUUUUCCCCACUGAAGUGCCUAAGACAGGAACCCGGGAAUAAUCUAUGUAGCUACUACGUCUGUGAGCACAUGCACAGUUUUGUGGGAUCCAAGGGAAAGACGCCGCCACACAACUAUAAAGUACGUAAAAUAAACUAUAAAUAGUUAAUUAUUUUCUACCUCCUUAUAUUUAAUUGUUUGUGUAAAAUUCACAUGACUCCAAAUUAUAGAUGUUAAAUAUUCAACAGGGACUCUUGUAGAAGGAAAGAGUAGUGGCAAUAUGUGAAGGUCUCAUUGGAUUCCUGGUGGACGAGGUGGUAAAUUCACAAGGAGAAUUUUAUUACGAUGGAUGAAAAUUAGACGCUUCGAGCAACACCUCGAUGGGAAGAUCAUAGAUAGUUUGAUUUGUAUAAUGCUAAGAUUUGUAUAGUAUGCUAAGUAUUGUAUAUAUAGUAAUUGUAUAAAUACAUGUUUGAUUUGUUUAAAUACUAGUUUGAUUUUAUUAUAAAAAAAUCUCAACUAUUAAAGGUUAACUAAAGGGGUACGUGCAUGAUGCAUGAAAUUACAGGCGCCAUGCAGGCGCAUGCAUGGAGCACGCUUGAAAUUUCAAGCAGGACUUUAGUCCCGAUUGGAAAACCCAACCGGGACUAAAGGGGGUCCUGUACUCCUGGUUGGUAAAGGGUCCCGGGACUAAAGACUCCCCCUUUCGUCUCGAUUGGUUUAUCCCGGAUGGAUUUUUAGGAGAUUUGCUCCCUACCAACCGGGACUAAAGGUCUUUUUUCCACAAGUGCACAGUUAAUGCUGAGACAAAUGCAUCCACAUGCUUUCUACAUGCACUCAGUGCUAAACAUGGGAAAGGGGACGCCCGGCAAAGAUGGUCAGGCUCAGGCAUGCUGCCGUGUCCACGUAAUAGGCAGGUAGCAUCCUCGUCGCGUAUUGUAUGGUGUGGUUGUGUGGCCAACUCGCCCUCAUUCCAGCCGACGGGGCAGAGCCGGAGAGGCCGAGCUAUGCCAUGCGAAGAUGGCAUGCCGUGGCAAUGCACACCACCAUUACCAGCAUGGGCGUACGGUGUGGCCCUGCACAUAACACUGCGCCUUGCCCAAAAUAUAGAGACAUGGCCUGCUGAAGCAGUGACGCUGACGCAUCAUGAGGCAUGGGACUAUGGGAGAUCAAUGGGCCAUGCCGUGCCUUGAGAUACCGUACCAGUAUCUCGACGCUUCCGUAGCAAAAAUUCGCAUCCUGCCCAAAGCUGCCCACAAUUCUGGCGCUGUGAGACCGGGAGUACGUGGACAACUAGGAACAAUUUCGUACGAGGGGUGCUUGAUACCAGUGCUAAACUUUAGCAUGUGUCACAUCGAACGUUCGGAUGCUAAUUAGAAGGACUAAAUAUGAGCUAAUUAUAAACUAAUUGCAGAACUUUUAAGCUAAUUUGGGAGAUGAAUCUAUUAAGGCUAAUUAAUCCAUCAUUAGCAAAUGGUUACUGUAGCACCAUAAACCAUGGACUAAUUAGGUUUAAUAGAUUUCGUCUCGCGAAUUAGACUCCAUCUGUGCAAUUGGUUUUGUAAUUAGCCUAUGUUUAUUCUAAUUAGUAUCCAAACAUCCGAUGUGAUAGGUGCUAAACUUUAGCACGUGGGAGCCAAACAAGCCCUCAACUAGAAAGCUCCUACCUCCCAUUUUUUUAUACCAAUAAAGUUUAAGUAUGAAUUUGCAUCGGUUAUAUCCAUCGUGAAAAAAUACUUCAUCGGUCCCGGAUUCCCAAAUUAUAUGACAUUUUAGUUUUUUUAAUUUAUAGAUUUUGUGAUGCACUUUGAUAUUAUGUGUAGAUACAUCGUAAAAGUUAUAAAUUUAGAAAAACUAAAAAAUUUGGAACAGAGAGAGUAGUAUAAAAAAAACUCAAAUUGGCUAGAGCCUUGUAGUUAAUUAAUUUUACUUUAGGUUUCUGUAUGCUUCUUUUUCCUUGUGUUAAACUCUUUGUAUUCCAUCUUUGUUUUUUUGUUAAUCCGAUUAUACAGUCACUAGGGCCUUACGUCUCAUGUUUCCCAAAAAAGUUUUAUUAUGUGGUGUGCCCCCGAUCGGCAAGCAAUACGCCAAUACGAUGUCUCAUCUAUUUCGGGAGUCAGCAAUAUGAUGAUAUCUACGCUAUGCAGCUGAGAUUAGCCAUAUUUAAACAAUUCCCGGAUGGUUUUUUAUUGUUUGUCAUUUUUUUUCUCUUUACAUGUUGCAGCACCAUCUUUCAUAGCAAAUGCACGGUUAUAAAAAUAAGGUUUUUAAAUAGCUCGGUCUCGUGACGCUGUCGAGUGAUCAGUCAGGGAUGAGCAAUGAACCAGUAGUCUGUGAUGUGUGCAUAUCUUGACUAAGAAAAUUAACCAGGAGCAGCGAUGUGUUCUGUAGCCGCCAUGUCCAGGCUUUUGGUUCACGCUGACCCAGCCCGAGACCCGUGAGAGAAUCAACACGGGUGGCUGCUCAACUACAAUCUAUACCCAAGAGCGCAACCAGCUAUGAUUUUGAAGUUGUUCAAUACGUUAAGCCAGUCAACUGCGCCCACUGCAAGGCAAGUACUCCAGGAAGGAUGGUGCAAGCUGACCAAAACAAAAGGUCUCUGAUCCUUUUUUUUCGGCUAACAUGUCUUAUCAUGUUUUUCAUUGAGGAAGAAGAAACUCAAACCAUACAACAUCCCCGGGACAAACUAAUCUGACCACAUCUAUCUCAUCUUAUCACCAGCUGCAAAAUUUAGGUCAAUUCACGUGUAAUAUAGUCUCAAGUUACAGGUGCAAAUUUGAUAGGAAACAUAUUUAGAAUGACGAGGACAUGAUACCCAUGCAUACGAUCAUGUUUAGCACAUGAUAUAGAGGGCAAGGAGGCCAGCAAGGGUAUCCAAGUCAAGAAGGAGGCUCGAGGCUAAUUUGGUUCAAGUCCCCGAGGUGGAGCCCCAAAGCAACUCAAGUUCGAGCCUGUCUCGGAGUCCAGCAGCAGCACGUACUAAAAACGACACCCAGGUCGCAUACGGUGUCCGUUUUGGGUGUUCUUUAUAUAGAUGGAAACAAAAUUUCAUGGAGCUUCCAAUGGAACCAGUCUCACCUUAAAACUCGAUCGGAGUCAAUGGAAAUUGUUGAAACAAGUGGACAUUCAGAAUCUGUCAGGGUGCUGCGUCACCGUCUUUUGGGCCAUUGGCCCGUGUAUCGUGUUGGAGCCCAUAGGGGCGCGUCCAGGGGGGUCUCCACGAUCUAACCGUCAUAAAUUCAGUAGCCGUCGCCACAUUAGGGUUUAGGUUUUGUUUAGUUCUAGUUUUCCAUCGAGAAACUGAGAUUGAUUCAUUGUAACUGUGGUGACAAAUCCGUUUACAGUGAUCCAGGGACCCUGUUCUUGUUCUCCUCGCCUGUGACGAUUAGUCCAUUCGAAUCAAGAGGUCGAACCCCAUAUUUUAUCUUUGCUUCAUCCAUACUUGCAAUUUCAGAUUGCGUGUUUUACCGUUCUUGCUUGUUCUCUUCGAUUCGCUUGUAGAGAAAGCCUUCUCGGCGAGGUCAAUCAAGUUGUGCUUGGUUGAUAACCAACAGAGCAGCGGUGUAGCGGUUGCAAGGAUUCGAAUCGUGUCUAAUUAGAAGCCCGGAUCGUCAAUGUCGAAUCUCCACCCAAUCAAAUUUAUCACUACCUUUUGGAAGAUCAGGCCAGUGCUACAUCAUAGAAGGUUUUUUAUCAACUAGCACGUCACCUACCAUGCUGAAAGAAUAGCACCUGUUAAAUCCUGAAAUAAAUCUAGGAAAAUACUAGCACCGAUACCGAGUCGAGCACUCAAAUUCAGAUGGGUACGUUCCACCAUAAGGAACCUUCCACACAAAAUCUCUACAUCGAUAUGGUUAUGUGCAAAAUUAGUAAAGAACGGAUAAGUAGCUUGCAUGAUCAAAGUUUGUCAAGCCAUUGAUAGCAAGGUGUUUAUAAUGACUUCACCAACUUGAAAAUUUUGCGCACGUGUAUUUAUAGAGGUGGGUGUGCUCACGGACACCUUACAUAUUUAAACACAAAGUUCCAUCAUAUCACUUUUCCAUCUUCUCUUGAAUUAAAAAGCAUGCAAUUUUAUGAAAAGUAUUGUGGGGUACAUUGUACAUGAAUUUUAUGAAAAAUCUUACUAUUACUAAUUGAAAACUCCUUUUGAAGGUUUCACAUGAACCUACCUUGGAUCUUAGGUGGACAUUAUAGAAAGAGUGAGAAAUUCUCUUAAAAAAUGCAAACGUGUAGCCAUCAAUUCCGCAGGCUCAAAUCAUCAUAGCCAUUGGAUCUAUUUUGCUUUCUAAAAAAAUUUAAUCUAAUUGUCUGCAUGUUCAUUGUAUAGAAAUAUCCAAAAGUAAUCUAAUAUAUGAUUCUAAACCACCUAUUUUUACCAUUAUUGGGAGGAAGUGAUGAAAAGUACUGAUUUUCAUGUUAAACAUAAUGUGUGUAUGGAAGUGCGAUGCAAAGUGAAAAAAAGUAUGUAUGUGGAUGAAAAAAUGUAUAGAUUAAUUACUAAUUAAAAGUUAAUCAUACGGGAUAAAGAUAAGUAAAUAGCUAUAUGAGUAUUGUGUUAGAUUAUUAAAUAAAUGAGAGAGCCGUAAGCAAAUAAUUUUGAUUAUUUGAUUAUUAGUUAGGGUCUAAUAUAACGCCUCUUAAAAUUGUUGAUCCGUGUGAAAGAUAGACUAGUGCAACUAAUUGGUAGGUAGAUGCGAGUCCGGUUUAUGAUUGUACCAAGGGGAACCCUUUUGGUGAUUGAGAGAGGUCCAGGAAAAUUCUGAAAGAACACCAUGAAAAAUCGAAAGUGCCUCCUGGAAGCAGGGGGUCCGGUUUGCCAUCACUUGCAUGCUGAACAUAUCACAUCACUGCAGGUCGUUCAUGCUCCGUAAGAUAUCAUUCAGAAGGAAAGUCGCCGAAAGACGAUGACACUGCACUUUGGAAUCUUUGUAGUACGUUGGUAGGUAGAGAUCACAGAUGUUUCUUAGCGUUAGGAUAAUUUAGAUUCAUCGUGCGCGCAUACCAAACUCGCAAUGAUGCACGUGUUUGGUGAAGUGCAUGACAGUUGAUUCGGUCGCCAACAAACCUAAUCUAUAGGAGCUAACGCCUGUGGAGUUCGGCCACUGACCAUCAGGUUGUGUAUCCUCGCUGAUCCGAGGAAUUUUGACUUGAAAUAGAUGUCGCUAGACGAGCAACGAGAGAAAUAGAUGUUUCAUGUUUGAGUCGUUGUCUUUGAAGCAGAUCAGGUUAGUGUGUAGUUGGCGAUUUAUCGGUCUCAUUUCUGAAAACAAAAAAAAAA